GGGGGCAGUAAGAAACAAGGGUACUUAGGCAAAAAAACACAAAUAAUCUAGUAUCAAGAAAGGUGGUGGUGGGGCUGUGAUAUUUGGAUCAUGACGAAAAUAAGUAGGAAUAGGUUUUCAAUCAGUUCAUGUAUUUGUUUUGUUUUUUUUCCUUUUAUCUCGAUUUGUUGCGAUACUAUAUCGGGGAACUGCAGAAGGGGAAAAGGGUUUAAGAAGAAGAUGGAGUUAGGCUGGAAAUUAUCAGGAUCAAGGGUCAGAUUUAAGUAAUGAAUUCAUUCUCUGUGCCCAUGUGGAUUUGGUAUAUGUACGAGCUAUCGCUAGUAUGUUGCUGGUAUUGAUUGAGAAGUCAUAUCCUAAAGGCUUUCUUCUCUCCAGCGCAAUUUAUUCAGAAUUUUACUGCUAGGGGUAGUUGUAAUCUUUUGUUUGUUUCGGCAGAUACUUGCAUGUUGCUUUAUUGAGCUUGGUUGUAGUUUCAGCUUGUGUAUAUACCAUCUGCAGUAUCUCCACCCGUUUCAGCUUUAUUUGAGAUGUAGCGAGGCUUGCGGAUCCUGUCAGACAGGUUCUUGUUCAGUUGCUGCUUUAUAGUGAUGGAAAUGACAAAAAGUGGCAAAGAUUCAUGCAACUAUAGACCUUAUCAAAGCUGUCAAACUGGGACUUUAUUUAUUCGGAGGUCAUGGAAUGUUAGUAUGAUAAGGGAGUUUUAUUCCUGGCGCAGUACAUUGUAAGUAAUUUUAAGCAUUUAUGGGCCAAAAUCAUGGCCAUUACUACUAUGAAAAACUGAAGUGAAUUGUACUAGCAUGAGCCUUGGAAAUGGUUGUUCUUGUAUCCUUGAUUCCUUGAAGUACAUACUUGGAAAAUGUUUUACAUUGAAUGAAGUUGGCUAGUUGCAAUUUGUACACAUUUGGUCACUUAAUUCGAAGCAAGCAGUGGAAGCUAAAAUCUUCAAAAGUAGAACAAACCAAAUUCAUUAAUGUCAACCCAAGUACAACAAAAGUGAGGUAAAUAAAAAAAAAUCUAAAAGAAACCCUAAAACACCAGAGCUAAGAGCAACAUAAAAAAGGUAAAAGAGGGAAUGAAACAAAUAGUUUAAAAUAAACUAAAAGUGAGGAUUGUCUCGUACGUUUUUGCAUUGUUUCACUCAACUUUGUAAUUUGUUUAUAAACAUAAUUUCAGUAUGUGUAAUAUUUUUCGUAUAAUUAAAAAAGAUUAGAUACAUAACUUUUCUCGUAUAUUAGUAGAGCAACUUGAGUUUUAUCCUUCUUACAAUCACCCCGCAUUUUAGUGGGGCUGAGUCACCUCAUGAUUUUUUUAACUUCCGGUGUUGUGUUCUUAACUUUUCUGGUAAUAAUGGGAAGCUUUUAAGGGUUUACUGCUGGAGUAAUUGGCAUGUGAUGUGGUCGCCGCGGAGCUCACUCAAUAUUUACUCAUACAGUGAAACGUCGACGCCAUGUUAGGAACAACUUAUGGUUUCAUUGGAUCUGAAAUCUGAGUUUCUGGGCCUCUUUAUUAUCCAAUCCUAGAUGAAACCUGGGCUGCCUGUUCCUGGCCCUUAAUUUCCCAUCACCUGAAGACGGAACCAAGUCCCCAACUCGCAAGGCAGGCAAUUCUUCCGCCGGAAACUGAACAACAAACACAGCUUAGCAAUUCAUAAGGCGAACUGAAGUAAAAGAAGAAAUAGUAAUGAAGAGACUCAGUCGAGGGCUUAUUCCAUGCAUGAAUUCAUUGAGGCAAAUUCAAGUAGCAAAAUCAAAUCCCCAUCCUCGUAAUCAAAGAUCAUUUCUUUUACCCGCGAUUCCCAACAUUUUUCUUUCUUUUUGUCGCUAUUAUUCCACCGGUAAGCCUUUUUAUGUACUUACCAGAUUAUGUUUCAGAAAGAAAAAAAAAAGUGUCACUUUGGAUUCAUUGGAACAAUAUUCUCGUAAUGGGCAGAGCUGCAACCUCAGCUUUCUACUGACCUCCUGAAAAUAAUGGAACAAAGAUUAGCCGCUAUUGAGCAUAGGAGUGCUUUUCUCGAGAAUUUCAUGAACCAGGUAAUAUCUUUUAAUUUUAAAUUCUUUUAUGCUUCUGUUUAAUUCUAUUUUGAUUUUUGUUGAAAUUGAGCUUGUGGGUGUUGUUUGAAGACAGCCAGAAGCCUCACCUACCGAGUAUUCGAAGGCUAACGAAGAGCUUCAUAAACUUAGGGACUCAAUGGACCUCAUAAAUGAGCUGAGAACCAAACAGAAGGUAUAUUUUUGUCUUCAUUUUCUGUCUUGUACAAAUGUUCUGUCUUACAGUUUUAUUCUGUGUCGAUGAAUCAACCUUUUGUCCCUUGUCUGAUGGUAUCAUGUAUCUUGUAUAUUUCCGUAGCUUUCCUAAUUAAGCCUUCAGUAAGUUGACCUGUGUUGAUAAAUGAUGACAUAGUAUACAUACUAUGGCCCUAGAGGUAUCUUUAUGCGUUAUCCUAUAUUCCUAUUGUUUCCUAUAGUUGCUAUUAUGUUGUGAUUGGUCCAAUGAGAAUUCUGUUUUAAGUUUUCCUUUUUGUUCCCCAUUUUAAGUAGGAGAUUGACGGUUUGAGGUCAUUGAUGGCUGAAUGCCCCAAUGAUAAAGACAUGCUUGAGAUGGCAACUGAGGAUCUUGGUAAGGCUUUGGAAGAAGAGAAAAGACUGCAGAACUUGUUACUCAAGUCUUUACUUCCUAGAGAUGAUGCUGAUGAGAGGGACUGCAUUUUGGAGGUUAGAGCAGGUAAUAACUGUUUGUUGAGGUGGCACAUGAAUACUGGUUUUUGUCAUUGUUUUUUGUUGAAUAUUUUUCCUGCUUUUUUAAUCAGGAACUGGUGGGGAGGAGGCUUCUUUGUUUGCGAUGGAUGUGUUCAAAAUGUAAGUCAGUACAACAUGGUGUCAUGGUCCGUGCAUGAAUCAUGAGUUUUUUUUCAGAAGCUGCUUGUCUGAGAAUUCUUUACUUGGAUGGUUACAACAGGUAUGAGAGGUAAUCACAGAAGAAGGGGUGGAAGUUUGAAGUGGUAGAUAUAGCAGAGUCUGAUCUGAAAGGGUAUAAGGUAUCUAUUUCAUCUUGUGUGGUUUCUAGGAUCUUUGUCUUUCUAAAGUUUAUGGAAUUAUCUUGUGGAGCUUAUCUCCUGUCCGCAUCACAGAACCUUGACUUCUUGUUCUCCUUAUCAGCAAGCUAGUGCAGCAAUCUCAGGAGCUGGUGUUUAUGGGAAACUUAAAUUUGAGAGUGGAAUUCACAGAGUUCAGGUUUUUGUUUCUGACUUUUUAACAUGCAAUAUAAUGCUUUAAAGCCCAACAUAAAUGGCAUUUUCUUUUGGCAGCGUGUUCCUGUGACAGAGAAGUCUGGACGGAUCCACACGAGUGCUGUAUCAGUUGCUGUUCUCCCUCAGGCCGAUGAGGUGCUUAAGGAUAUGUUUUGUAUUUCAUUUGUUUUUUUUAGCUGUUUGGAAGAUUGUUAGAUUAUUUUGUUGGGAGUUUUAUUGGAUUCUCAGACUGCUCAUACUAGUUCACUUGUACUUAAGUAUUGGACAUUCCAUUGUCACAAUUUAUUUGAUUUAUAGUUUUAAUUACUAUAUCCUUUUUGCCUUCUUUGAUUGAUGUUCUUGUUGAGGUUCUGCAGGUGGAUGUCCGGUUAAGGAAUGAAGAUUUGAGAAUUGAUACUUACAGGUCUGGUGGUUCUGGCGGUCAACAUGCAAACACCACCAACAGUGCAGUUAGAGUCACACAUUUUCCCACUGGUAUAACAGUAACUAUACAGGAUGAACGAUCUCAGCAUAUGGUAAAGAGUACUCAAAUGUUUUAGUGUGGAUUCUUUUCUGUUGAGAUCUUUUGCUUUGAACUUCAUUUUUUCCAUACUGUGCAAUAGUGUGCCAAGACAUACUUGUGAAGUUUGCAGCCUUUCUUAGGUUUUUUUUUUUCACCUUGGCGUGAUUUAUUUGUUUCAAUAUGAUCUAAACAGAGGAAUGAGUUUUUCGUUUGAAAAGUUAAUGAUGCAUGCUUAAUUUUUAUCCACAUUGCUAGUUUCAGCUUUUUGGCUAUUUUAUUGCCCUAUCAUGUAAUGUCUUUAGAAACUACCUCUACUUGUUUGUAUAUAGAGAAGGCACUUUAUCAGUUGAAACUUGACUUUUAACCUGGUCUUAGGUAUGAAUCUCAGCAUGGGGGAGAGUUAUCUCUAUUUGUGUAAGAUCUGUGGGUAUGCGCAUGAAGUAGAAAAGAAGCUAGUCUUGCAUAGAUAGCUUUGUAUUUCUGUAUUGACUUGAUUGCAUCCAUGAGGACAGAAAAUAAGUCUUUGAAACUUUCUGGUUACUGAUAUAUAUGGCAUAUUUAAGGUCUCUUAAGUAAAGCUUGUAAUCUAUGGUUAUAUGUUAGACAUGGACUUUAACUUGAAAGCACUGAAAUAUGAAUUUGGAUGGUUUGCUAAACAGUAUCAUCCAUCGAUAUUUUUAUCCUGGUGCUUUCGUAACUUCCCCUUCUUUUUGCUUCCUAUGAUAGAACAAAGCUAAGGCCCUUAAAGUCCUCUGUGCAAAGCUGUAUGAAAUGGAGAGGUCCAGAAUUCAGACAAGCCGAUCAAAGCUUAGAUCUGAACAGGUAUGGGUUACUAUGAGAUGAAAUUUUAGAUUCUGUCCUUCAGAUCCAGAUGAUUGGGUAUUAAUCACUUUGAUAUUAAUAGAUUGGUAGUGGAGAUAGAUCUGAGCGCAUUCGAACCUAUAACUUUCCUCAAGGGCGAGUCACCGAUCAUCGUAUCGGCAUCACUUAUCAUGCAAUAGAUGAUGUGAUGCAGGGAGAGAAUCUGGAUGUCUUUGUGGAUGCUCUUCUUUUGCAACAGGAAAUGGAUGCAAUUGCAACCUUCAGUUCUGAUCAAUGACGUUUAUUACGGGUAAUGUCUUGACCGUAGCAGAAUUUUAUUUGCCACAUCAUUUUCACACAUGAAACAGCCAUACCCUUUGUUCUCUUGCAACCUGAAUCUUUAAAAUAUUCAAAUUCAUAUUGGUGAUGCAUGGGCUAACAGAGAGGAACAGGCAAUUAUACUUUCAUGACAUGUGCCAUCGCCUGUUGUAUCUUUUACUGUUUGUCGUGGGAGCAAUUAGAGCUUUACAAUAUUGUUAUGUAGCGUGUGACACAAAUAUUAUACGCUUAAUUAGAGUUGACAUAUGCAUGGUUGCCCCCACCUGAUUUGUAGCAGACUCGAUAGCCAUGUAUUACAAUUUUUUCCUAACUAAAGCUGUGACUAAGAAUGGUUACUCAACAUAUUUGCAUCCAAACUGCCAACUGGACUAGUAUUAAAGUGUAUUUAAUCUCAUCCGAUCCCUGUUUAAAGAAGCUCGUGGGCAUGAGAUUGACUGGUUUUUUAAGUCGCCCUUUGUCGGCAUGUGAGCCAUUUGGGCCACCUAGACACCGACCCUAUAUAAACCGGUAAGAUAACUCCAAUCGACUUGCUUCCACCCAAGAAAAAUUGAUGGCUCAUGCCACUAGACAGACAAAAUCCCAUGAUUGAAAUCCUCCGGCUCCUAAACAAAACCAAGACUAUUAGAAUCAUAUAAAAUUAGAUUGCCUAAAAUAAAAGUCUAUUAGUUUAGCAUAAAAUCAAAUGACGAAUAUGACUGGAUGGGAUUUGGUUGAUGCGUGGGCGGUGGGGUACGGUUUUCACCUUUCUUACUCGUCCGGCUGAAAUCAUUAUGUGGGGGCAACAACUUUGUCAUGGAAAAUGUCGCUACUUCUUUUCUUAAAAUAAAAUCUUCCCUGUUUAUAAUUCUUGACUUGAAAUAAAAAUUUUUACAAAAAAUAAACUAAAAUUAUCCACCAAUAUCAAGUGAAGCGAUGAAAAAAAAAAUCAUUAUAUAUUUAAAUUAUUAAUUUGUUAAGUUUGUUUUUCAAAGUCGACUUGCGAGUUUCAAGUGACAAGUCAAUAAUCAGUAUAGUGGAUCAGUAUCUAUUAACAAGUAGAAGAUUAUACCCUAAAUCCAAAGUGAUUAGUAUUAGAAAUUGGAGAAGAAAAUUGUUUGAGUUUUGGUUUGUAGAUUUAUGACGUUUAAAAUUAUUUUUAAACCGUAGAAGAAAAAUAAAAUGAUAGCUUUCAAUUGGUGUAAUGAUCUUAAUAGUCUAAUGACUUAAAUAAAAAACUUUUGUUUAAUUUAAUGAUUAUUUUAUAAUUUUUUUAAAGUAGAAUGAUCAAAAUUUAUUUUUACUAAUAGUUUAAUGGCUGUAGUUGUAGAUUACCCUUGAUACAAUUAUAGGAUGCUAAUUGAUGUGUUUAUUAGGAAAGCCCUAGAAUAUGGUUAAAAUCGAUUGGGGGUCCCAAAAGUGUCCGGACUGAAGGAGACAGGUUAACACAUCAAUUAAAAAAGCAAACCAAAACCUUACCCUAAGAAAUGAAGAAGAAGAGUUUUGAGUGGCAACGAAGGUGUCCAAUAAGGGAAAAAUAAGGGAGGCGAUAAAUGUAUAUUUUCUUCUGCAACCAAGUGUAUUCUACCCAUUAAAAAGUCCUUGAAAAUGACCCCCCGUUCUCAACUGUAGUAAUGACUUGAGAAAAAUCAAGCAAAGAUGUAAUCCUGCCCACAAAAGUCUCUUCCUUUAGUUUCAAGGUAGAAAAAUUUGAGAAAAAUGUGAUAACUUUUUGUUGGCUUCAAGAUAAAAUCUUGGUAGAUUCGUUUCCAUUAUUGGGUUUUAUAAUUACUUUAAUAUUGCAUGUAAUGCUGUAUUUGCCGGAUCUUACAAUAUUUUAGAAUCCGAUGCAAUGCAAUACGUAUAGGCAAGAAAUGGUUAGUGAAAGUCCUCAAGUUUUGUCUGUUUUCCGCCAUUGAUUCUCCUGUUUUAGACCCUGAUUGAUUAAAUUAAUGGAACCAUUAUUUUACGUUGAGUUCAUUUUUAACUUUUUUUAAUAUUUUUUCAUUGCCCAUGGUUAGAUCUAAACUAAAAAAAAAUUCCACCCUGUUGUAUAUUUGACAAAAAGACCCAUCAAAGAAAAAAAAACAAAAAAGGGGAAGAUUUGCUGCUCAAAACAGGUAUCUGACACCUCCCCAAAGACAUAGGGGUGUUAGAAUCUGGUCUGGAAAAUCAAACAAAGUUUACCCUGUCCAUUUUUUUCUUCGAUGAAUCCUAGAAUGCAAAGCAAUUAUUAUUAAGUCUUUCAUUAAUUGCCUCAAAAGAACCAUUACUGAAUUCAUCAAAGGAAAAAAGGGGUGACAUAUGGAUAGGUUCCCUGAUGUUCUGUGUGGUUGGAGCUGGGAGGAGAACAAGUUGUUUGAGCUGGCUUUAGCAGUGGUCGAUGAACAACACCCUGAUCGUUGGGAAGUGGUAGCCGCCAUGGUUGGAGGGGAAAAAACUGCAGAAGAUGUGCAUAAACAUUAUGUCAUACUUUUGGAGGAUUUGCAGUUUAUCGAAUCGGGUAAACUCGACCAUAAACUUGCCGAAACUCAGUCCUGUAUUCAACUUGACUGCACUCAAUCUGUAUGCUGGACUGAUGAUGAUAACAAGUACUCACAAUUCUUUUUCUUUAUUUUCUUCUUCUUCUACCGAUUCUUUUUUAUUCUUUUUCCCGUCUCUAGUCCAUAUUCCUUAUUCACUAGGAUCCUUACAAAUCACAGCUAAAGAGAGUAAAUUUCGAUAUACAUGCAUCUGAGUUUGUUGACCCAAUCAUUUCUUCACGCAUGCAUAGCCAAAUGGGCCAAUUCCCGGCUCAACCUUGUCUUGGCCGUUCAUAAAGGGACAAAUACAAGAAUCCUGUUUUGCAGCCCCAGGGAACAGUGCCUCUCAAUCUAGGACUUCUCAUUGUUCUACUUACCUUAUUUGUUCCGUUUUUUCUUUCUUCUCCUGCAUCAUAAAUUCAUAAUAUCAAAUUUCAUAAGACAGACAUAUUUCAGGGUGGUUAUUGUGGAUCAAUUAUUCUGCUAUAUUUAUGUGGUUCUACUUCCAUGAUGAUGAAUUUUUAAAUCAUAAGCUUUUGUUAUCCUCAUUUUCUAGCAUUCCAUUAGUCUAGUUUUAGGCAGAUUUGAAGUUUUUCCUUGCAUAAGGCCAAUCAGAGUUGAAACAAUGCUUUUUUAGUUUCUGAUGUUUAAUUGUUUCUCUGCGCCUUACAGCUUGCUGGUUCGAUUAGACAUAAAAUGAUCCCCAGAGCUACUGUAUUGCUGGUUUAUUAUGAAAGCAGAUUUGGUCACUGGUGGCUGUGCCAGAACUUACGCCCCACACGAAUGCAGGUCAUAUUAAUAUAUCAAUUCUAAUGUUAUAUCCCUUGUUCCUUGAUGUAAUCACUUUCUUCAUUGUAAAACAGAAUUUAUGGGAGAAAAAAAUCAACUUUGCAAUUUGUAGAUAGUAGAAAUGGGUCUCUGGGCCUUGUUUAUUUGAAGCUGAUGUCCGACCCUUGUUAUACUUUUUCUUCAGUAAAAAAAUUCCAGUUUUAGGGUGGAUUUCUUUCAUGAAGGUUGCAAAUAAUGUGCUAGACUUGUUUUACUUAUCUCCCUAGUGAUAAUUGGUUUGAAUCUUAAACACACUCAACAAAAUUCCAAAUCAUAUUUGCUUAAUAUGGAUGUGAUUUUUACUCUUUGAAGGUGUCUGCCAAAGGUACCAAGAACUUGAUUUCAUAAAAUAUCAGUACUUUGAAGCUAAAAACAUCCAGACUUUAAAGUGAUAGUUUUUUUUUCCCGAAAUCACGAGAUAACAAGACAAAAUGGAAGCAAAAGCAGAUAACAUUACAUCUGAGGAAAUAAUAAUAUCGUCGUUGUUGCAGUCUUGUCCAUUUGCAUGAAGCUAGUUCUAUUCAAAACCCAGAUCAAAGAACACAAACUUGUUCCAAGCAUAAAACAUUCAACCGUAGUUUACAGUUGGUAAUUGAGGGUGUUGUCCUGGGGGGCAGGUGUGAAAUUCCAUUUUCUGAGAAGAAAACUUUCUUUGCCCAAACAACCUGUAUCAGAAACCUAGUGGCCAUGCCACGGGGUGAAUUUAAAAGCUGGAUUGUGGUAAACCCUGAUAUUCUUCCUCUCCUCUAUCUAUCUCCAGUCUGUCACUUAAAGCAAUGCAGCAUUUAUUCAAGUCUUCUUAUUGUGUCAUUUCCCCCCAAUCAAUGGUGAUAGUGGAAAAAACAAGAAGGUUCCUGGAAAUGGUUGGAGAAUCAAAAUGCAAAUUUCCAUUACCAGUAAAACGAAUAAUCUCUAUACUUGGAUUGAAAAGAAUAGAGAGAAAAUGAAGAUAAAAGAGCUGGGGCCAUUGGGGCUCAACAAAAGUCACCACAAUUACCUUGUUAAAAGGUACCUAUCAUGAACCUGGAUCUAAAUUACAGUCAUAAUAAUAAUUCCAAAAUGGGAUAAGGUGAAAAAGUUAAAUAAAAAAAGAGGGAGGAAAAAAAUGGAGGAGGCAGAGCCAGGGAAGAGGCAGUGCAUGGGCGGAGAAACAACAGAAUCAGUUGGUAGAUCCAUCCAUGCUCAGCCUGUUCCCUGUCUUUGUCUGUCUCUCCCAUCUUUCUCACUCUCUCUCAAUAUUGACUGUUACCUCAUCUUGUUUUGCCUCUGUUGGAAUGCCCCCAAAGAAACCUGCCACACUGAUGUCUAUGGCUCUAUGCUCUCAUCUGAGCUAUUUAAGCUAAACCCCCCAAUAACGUUUACAGUACAACUUGUACUAAACGGACCCUGUACUACAGUACUAGCAACUUCUUUGAGUGCCUGUUGAACAUAAAAGAACCCUUUUUGGUGGGAUGAAUUUGUACUACACUUGUAUCUGCUAGUACUCUCAUAUUCUCCAAUGAUACGAUGACUCUUACCAAAUAAAUUACUUCCAUAAAAGAAUUUAGUGAUUCCGUUAGCCUAAUGCAUCCACUUCAAAUCUUUGAAUAAACAGAUUCAGCUUGUCUUGCAGAUUUCAAAUGGUAAUGUUGGAUUAUGAUGAAAAUCAAUCAAGUAUGGUUGCAUUGAUUGAUAAGAACAAUUCGUAUUCUAUCUUUUUGGAGGAUAUUGGUUUCUUUAUGUAAAAAAAGGAUUAUUAGAGGUAUUUGGAAAAGGGGGAGCUGGUGGUGAAAUUCAGAUCAAAUGUUGGCUGCCGAUCUAAGAAAUCCACAUGAACUAGAAUUAGGCCGAGCAACCUUAUAACCAUCCAGCUUAUUGCACCAAGACAAUCACGAUAUGUAAGCUUUUGAUCAACAAUUUAAUUUUGUUCCUUUACUUUCAUUUAUCAACUUAAAUAAAUCAAUUUAAACCAAAAUUUACCCUGUUCUUUUUUGUUAAUCAACAAACUUGCUUAUGUUGAUUUAAAUUGUUUAAAAUUCAUUUAAAAGCCGAUUUACUAUUAAAUCAUUAUAUAUUAAUAGAAUUAUUAUCUGGGCGCUUAUUUUAUUUAUUUAUUUAUUUAUAGUAUAUUUGAUUAUAUCUAAAAUAUAAUAUAUAUUUUAAUAUUUGUGAACAUAUUUAUUUAUUGUUCAUGAAAUAUUUGUUUAAUUUAAACGAAUAAAUAUAAACGUACAUAAUUUUGAACAAAUGAACACAAAUAUAAAAUUGAAAUUCUUAGCAAGAACAGGUUUAAAAAUAAACAAACAUAGGUUGAUUAACAGCCUUAAUCCAAAAUUCAAACUUUCAAUAAAAUUUGAUUCCGAAGUUGUUUGUUUGAAAUUAAAUUAAAACUAGAACAAAUAAAAAUUGAAGGAUUUGAAUUGAAGAAUAAUAAAAAAGGAUAAAGAAACUAAAUAUAAGUAAAACUGAAAGAAAUGAUCAAAUUUGUCUUAGUAACCACGAUUAUCAGACAAGUUUCAAAAAAAAAAAAACAGAGUUUAACCUAGUUCUACAUAAAUGAACCAAUCAAUUUCAAGCAUAAUUAAAGAAUUGUAUAAUAUCUCUAAUAAUCAAAUAUAAACUUAUCAAAAUCCGUAGUUAAAUAUGUGUAUAGGUGGGACCAUAUAAGAGCUAAACUCAUCAUUUAAUCCAACAAAUACAUUUAUUUAGAAAGUUGAAGAGUGAGUGAAGAUAAUUUGUAUUACGGAUCCCUCAAUUCCACCUGUAAGAUCUCUAAGCUACUCGAACAAGCAAAGAACUUUUGCGAACAAAACCAAAAAGAAGGUAAAAGGAAGCAUCAUCUACGAAUAUGUAUUUACUUUUCAUUAUAUAUAUUUCAAAAGUGGGGAUGAUGAAUACAUAGGCAACAAAGAAUUUACAAUUCAAAUAUGAAUGAGAUCAGAAGCAUCUCGUUGCCCUUUCUCUCUUUUCUGAUUCCAUUUCCUUUUUAUAUAUCACAAUAUAAAAGUAAAAAAAUUGGGAUUUCUAACCUGAAUGAAUGUACAACUCCCCCAUGCAAAUGCCCUUUUCCAAGAACAAGUCUAGAGAAUCUCUAGACAAAUGAAUAUAGUUCACUUGGUCUGUUGAAUAUCACAUUUGAUAUUUUAAGAGAUCAGGAAGAGUGAUUUUCCCAGAGUUAUUUGUAUCAAGCUUGCUGAACUGAUUGCAUAUCUGCAAUAUAUCCUUCUCCCCAACCUUCCCCAUUUCUUUGAGCUUGUAAAUGACAUACUCCGAUUUACUGCAACCAGAAAUUUUAAGGUGGAACAUGAACAACAAAAGCAUCACAAGCAAAAGAACUACAAACAAGCCCCAUUAGUCUGCUAGAAAAUAAAUAAACAUCCUCAUGAAUUCAUAGACUACAAGCCCUUUAAUUUCAAACAAGCAACACAUAGAGUUCAUUCCAAAAUGAGCUAGAAAGAUAGAAACCCGACCUGAUAAAACCAUUGUUGUUUAUGUCAGCAGCUAGCAAAUCCUCAAUAGUGAUAUCCCUAUGUAGUACCCACUUGGCAAUCCUCCUAUGCCGCUUGUUAACCCUUGCUUCAGCCAAAUACAGGAAAGCUCUAGCAACGGCCAGCGUCGAAAUCAAGAGCCAAACACCAGCAAACAAGCGUCCAGGCAGAGUCUUAAAGGCCCUGUCCCCAUAUCCAACUGUGGUAACAGACAUAACAGACAAGUAAAUAGAAUCAACCCAGUCCAAGCUCUCCACAAAGUACAAAAUCAGAGAUCCAAUCCCAAUACACAACACCACAACCCCAAGUGCCAAACUGACUUUAAGCCUAAUCCUCAUCCUUCCUUUGUCCACAUCAACAAUGUAAUCCCUAGCUGAAAACCCUUGUUGUGAUUUCUCCAUCUGAAUCCCAGUUAAUAUCAUGUUCUCUUGCAGGUCGAGGACAUAAUUCACAACCCCACUCAACAAUAUAUCAAUAAAACCAAAACCCACCAACACAAACACACAAGCAAAAAUCUUGGUAGCUGGGGUUAAAGGAGCUAUAUCACCAUAACCAAUGGUGCACAUAGUGACUAUACAGAAGUAGAGAGCAUCAACAACCGGGUGAGUCUCGAUACCCGAGAAUUCAUCUCUGUUAAACGAAUAAAUAACAACACCGAGAAUUAAGUAAAUGGAAAGCAAGAAAACAGCUUGCCUGAUAAUGGAGCUGGACUCGGAUUGAGGUUUAGGCACUUGGGGUGUUUUGGGCUUCAAAUCACGCAUGACAGCCAUGGCCGGAGCCGUUUUACAUCGCUUGAGAGAACCGGGCUUCUUUGACCCUGUACUAGGAACAGGAUAAUCAAAACGGGGAGGGGGUUGAAUCUGCGGGUGGUCCUCGAUUUCAGAUUGCAAGAGGGCUGGUGUUGAGAUUGACUGUGGGAUUGUGAGAUAAAAGCCAUGAUGAGAGUCAUCAAGGAUGUGCCGAAAUUCGGGUUUUGAUUGGGGGGAGAGAAAAGGCUCAUCUGCCAUCUCAGAAAGCAGAAAACCCACACAACAGAAAAAGAAGCCUUUUACUUUUUUGCGUCUUGAAGAUCGUGGUGGUUGUUGAGAGGAAGUUGGCUUCAGGUUUAAACUUUCAAUAUUGUGACAUUGCUUUUAAGGAACACACUCUGCUUUCUCUUCAGUCAAAUAAAAAUUAAAAUUAAAAUAUUCACAUUGCACCUUAUAUACUAUAAUCCUUGUUUGGACGCAAUAUGGAUUAUGUUGCUUCAUUUAGUAAAAUGGUAUAAUUAGGUUCCAAUUAACAACAUUCUUACAUCCACUAUCACUAUUUUAUUCCUAUAAAUACUAAACCAUCCAUUCUUUGUUUACUGAUCUCAUUUCUCUUGCUUUUCUACUUCUUAUCCACUUUAGACUUAAAUAUCAAUAAUAAUAUUGUUUUGUGUAGACAAAUAAACCAUAUUCUUUUAAAAUAAAUCUAAAUAACUUCAGUUUUAUACCUCUUUGAUGAGUUAGUGCAAUAAUAUAGGAUUUUCUUUUCAUCAAUGUUAAAAUAGUUGUAAUUUCUCUAUUUGGUAUGUAAAAUUGCUAUUUAUAAUUCUUUUUCAACUCUUAAAUAAGAGGAUAAAACACGUUUAAAUACAUUUAAACUCUUAUCCUCUUCUAGUGACAACAAUACUCAUGUCAACCAAGUUAAGACUUAAUUGAUUGUAUGUAAAUUUGUUGAAGAAGUAAAACUAAUAAUUACUUUAUGAGUCUUGAUUUGAAUAAAGAAAUGAUUAAAUCUAUUAUCAAAUAGAUAUUUGACAUGGGCACGAACUAAGCUACCUUUGUCCCCUAUCUCUGUAUAGAAAAAAGUAUAUCUUUAUGAAAUAUAACUUUUGCCCAAAGGAAAAAAUUCCAAUAAGGAGUUAUUUUAUAAUAUUUUUUAAAUAUAUAUAUAUAUAUAUCAAAUAUAUUACUUUUUAUUAAAUUAAAUAAAAUUUAUUUUUUAAAAAAAUUUAAUAAAAUUAUUUAAUAAAACAUUUCAUCAAAUAAAAUAUUUUUACAAAAUAAAACGCAAAAAGAAUUUUAUUGAAAAAGAAUUGAAAGUUGGGAAUCAUUUAAAAAAAAUCAAAUGUAUUCCUUAAAAAUAAUGUUAGAAGUGCAGGAGAAAAAACAGAAUUGUAAUAUUAAUUUCUGAGUAAGGACCUAAAAAAAGGGGGGAAAAACUUUUAUAGUAGAAUUUACAAUGUGUAAAAACAUUUUAAAUGAUGUAAUAGGCAUCGAGAUUUAAUAAUAAAAAAAUAAAUUUUUAGUACCAAACUCGUUUGAUAUGGAUUUUUAUAACGUGAUCUCAUCUCUUAUUGUUAAUAUUGUAUAAAAAAUGUAUUAUAAUGUUAAUACCAAUGCUAAGGCAUUUAUAAUUUAUCAUCGUAUUAUUCAAUAUAAAAUUUAGUAAGUGUAAUUUGUCCUACUAUUAUAAAUUAAACCAAUUGAAAGCCACCUAACAUAACUUACUGUGCACGCGCUAUUGGGCAAACUUUAUAGUUUUCCAUCUGCCAAAUUGAACUUGAAAGCCAAGAUGAAGAUUAGUCUAGUUUUAAAUACAGAUAUCCAAUAUAAGGUUUUACAUAUAUAAGGACGGGUGUCUGUUAAAAGGGCAAUCAUCAUUUUCUUUGCCAUAUUCUUUACCAAUGGCGCUGUGUGUUAUGAGAUCAAGGCGAAGCCUAGUGACUCCAUCUCAGCAAACACCAUCUGGCAAGCUUGACUUGUCAUUCAUUGAUAAAGUGCCGGUUCUAAGAUGCUAUACCCGCACAUUGCAUGUAUACAAACAUGGCCCUGAAGCAUCAAAGGUCAUUAGGGAAGCCUUGUCCAAGGCCUUGGUGCCUUACUAUCCACUUGCUGGACGGCUAAAAGAGCCCGAUAACAAUCAGCUUCAGGUUGAAUGUUCGGGAGAAGGUGCCUGGUUCGUCGAGGCAUCAGCUGAUUCUAGCCUUCAUGCAUUCAAUUACUUCGACGAUGCUAAUUUUGACAUUCCUUAUGAUGAACUUCUUCCUGAUCAAGUUCCUAAAAGUGAAGGCAUGGAACCUCUUGUACAAAUGCAGGUACCAGAAUUUUGAAUUUAAACCAACAAUGAUAGUAAUGUGAUUAAGCCUAAUGCAGGCAUUGUGCAUGGGUUUUUCUUUUCAUUAGGCAUCGUGCAUGGGUUUUUCUUUUUCUUUGUCUCAGGUGACACAAUUUGCAUGCGGAGGUUUCGUCAUAGGGUUAAUAUUUUGCCACACCAUAUGCGAUGGCUUAGGAUCUGCACAGUUCCUAAACGCUGUAGGGGAGUUCGCGAGAGGCAUAGAGCAUCUAAGCGUUGAGCCGAUGUGGCAAAGGGACUUUUUUCCAACUCCAACACAAGAUGCAAAUGUUAUCCAAUUGGCAAACUUGCCAGUGCCACCACCCCCGAUGCCUGCCAAGCCGCUAGAGCAUGUGAGCAUUGAUAUUUCCAUGGAUGAAAUCAAUCAGCUAAAGAAACAAUUCCAUGAAUCGACGGGGCAAACUUGCUCUGCUUUCGAAAUCGUGGCUGCUAAUUUUUGGAGCCUUCGAACAAGAGCAAUAAACUUGGAGCCAGGUACUGAAGUCCGGCUUCUUUUCUUUGCAAAUUACCGUCAGCUAGUGGAGCCUCCUUUGCCUAAAGGCUUCUAUGGCAACUGUUUCUUCCCGAUAACAAUCACAGCUCCCUGCGACUUGCUUAAACAAGCAUCAGCAAUCGAAGUGAUUAAACUGAUACGAGAAGCCAAGACUAAGCUACCUUCUGAGUUUGGUAAGUUCAAGAAUGGAGAUUACUUGAGAAAUGGGAAGGACCCAUUUCUAGCACCUCUAGGGUACACCACUUUGUUUAUAUCGGAAUGGGGUAGGUUGGGGUUCAACCAGGUUGACUAUGGGUGGGGCCCUCCGGUCCACAUGGUUCCAAUUCCGGGUUCUAGCAUCAUCCCUGUUGGCAUCAUGGGAUCGUUGCCAUUGCCUAGAAAGGGUGUCCGCUUGAUGACAUGGUGUGUUGAUAAAGACCAUACCCAGCCCUUCGUUGAUCUGAUGACGAAACUAGUCUAACAAGUUACCAAUGCUUGAAGUCUUGAACUGCUAUUGCUUUACCCAACGCCAAUGUCUAAAAUAAAACAACACAGCGCCACCACAUGUUCAAAACAUUUGUGGUUUUUAUUUAUUCCGUUUAAUAACAUUGUAUUUGGUAUUAUCUUGAUCUUCAAAAUCAUCUUUUUAUUAAAAUUAUCUCAUUCACUUGUGGUCAUUUUCAAAUAAAAUUAUUAUUUCUCAAUAAGUAAAUGCCAUUGUGUUUAGUUUUAUUAGAAAGCAAUUUUAUUUUAUUUUUUUUUAUGUUUUGUUCAUAUUUGAGAUUUGAGAUUACCCUUCCCAUCAAUAUUAUUUUUUUAUAGUAAAAUAAUCAUAAUAUAAGAAUUACAUAAUUAACUAUAUAUAUAUUUUUAGAAAACUAUUGAUGGUUUAUUUACUUUAUAAUAAUAUAUAACUAAAUUAAGGCUAUGCUUGUUUCAUUAAAAAUGGUUUUCGAAAAAUAAUUUCUAGAAAAUGACUUAUCUUUUUGGAAUAGUUGAUAUUUUCUGGUGUUUGGAUGAAUCUGUGUAAAAUAUUUUCUAUUGUUUAGUAGAGUUCUUGCAAAUAUUUCAUAAAAUUUGUUUUCAAUGAAAAAAACAUACAUUUGAGAUUUUAUUAUCUUUUCAUUGUUUAAUUGAGUUUAUUUCAUAAAGCUUAUUUAUAUUUUAAUUAAUCAUGUUUUAGUUUUAUGUAAUCUUAAUAGUUUUAUUUAAUCUUAAUUUACUUAAUUAAGCUUAAUUGUUAAUUUCAUACAUUAGGGCAUAUAAAUUUAUGUUUAAUUAAGUUGAAAGUGGCAAAUAUAUCAUUUUUAAUAUUAUUUGGAUGAGUAGGUUAAAAAAAUGAUUUAAUUUGAUAAAAAUUGAAGUAAGUAAAUUAUAUGAUUAUGAAAUAUGAAAUUUUGGAAAGUUGAGCAUAACAUAGUAAAGUUUGAAAUUAUAGGGGUUAAAUUGUAAAGAUUUCAAAACUUGAGUUUUAGGACAAACUUACAUUAUUUGAGAAUUUAAAAUUUUGGAAAAUAGAAUAUGAAAGUUUAACUGUUCAAAACUCAAGGACUAAUUUUUGGAAAUUUUGACAAUUUUAGUUGUAAGGACUAAAUUAUUAAAUCUGAAAAUUUUAGAAAAUGGACUAUUUUGCAAAACUAUACAAAACGAGGUUUAGGAUUGAACUGUGGAAUAAGAAAAUCUGUUUUUGAGGAAUUAAAUUGUAGACUAGUAAAAAUUUGGAUUUUAAGGACUAAAUCAUAAAAAAUAUAAAAUUGAAAUACAAUGGGCUAUUUUAUUCGACAGUGAAGAGAGCUUCCCCUCUGUUGCUUUGAAAACUUCCCCUUUUUAUUUCUUCGACAAUGAAGACAUUGAACAAAAUCUUAUCUGCUUAGAAAAUGUCUUACGAAAAAAAAAAUUGGUAUUACAAUCUUCACUUAUCUAUUAUAUUGCUCAAUACAUUCAUGAAUAAUAUUACUAAUUUUGUCAGCUCUAAUAGUUACCAUGAGUAUUUACUAAUUAUUUUUUGGAAGAAAAAAAUAAUACCUACAAUCUACAAUAAAGUAGAAGGUAAAAAAAAAGGCUAAUCAGUUACUUCUUUCAUCACCCCAAACAAGCCAAUAUUAGCGCUAAGAGUGCGAAAAUGUAACUCGCUGUUUACAAAACUAUUCGGAGUUCUUAGAGCUCCUUGUAAAGCUUGUUGGAAAAUUCAUUGUCGAGCUUGAUUAAUUGCUCUUUGUUGUUCAAAAUAAAUGAUUUCAUUUUUGUAAUUUUUUAAUUCAAAAUCUUAUAAAUUGAAUUAACCAAAUUCAAUUUUUCUCGUUCUAUUUCAGAGAAAGCUUUGAUUUUACUCUCUUUUUAGAGAAUAAUUUCUUUUGAUCAUUUAUUUUUCACUAAACAAAUACUGUAAAAUAAUGAAAAUAUUUUACGAAAAAUAUUUUACAUGCAAAACAAAUAGACCAUGGGUAAAUUUUUUUAAAUAUAAAUUACGUUAAAAUAAAAAUAGUUUAUUAUAUAUAAAAGUAAAAUGUGUGCAAACUGCAAAAUCCGAGGGGUGCCAGCCAUACUUGAACUACUAUUUACUGGUGGCCGACUUAUACAUAAUAGUUGUCUGGACAGUUGGCCCAUUAGUGUAAGAUUUGUUAAUUUGAAUAAACUCGAAGCCCAAAACUGACUGAUUUAGGUCAUGAGUUGCAGUGUAGACAAUACCAUUGAAGGUGGCCCAUACCCAGAUGAUAAUCGAAUAUUGAUGGUAAUGAUUUGAUUUCCUCGAUAUUUUUUAAAGAUUAAAAGAAAAUAAUGUUUUAUCAUCAAAUCGAUCCCAUGUGCCUGGUGGGAAUCAAUGCUAUUCUCAACUUGAGAUUUGGAUUUUUUUGUCCAUUUUGCGGAUGGCAUUGGAAAAUUCCGCCCAAACUCACCGGAGACGGAUGAUAAUGUCAAAAUGCACCCAAACUCUUAUUUUUCUUGGUGGGUUAGUCGUUUUAAUGUCAUCGAGGGCGAGGCGACUACAAUGGGAGUUUUAUUAGGGAAUGAUUUUCUUCCAGAAUUCUUGUUUUACCACUUCAAUGCUCUCAUCAUGUAAGACUUUAAAAUUUCAUCCAUAUGUGAAGACAUGAAUUUUAAAUAAACGAAAAAGGAAAAUCAUCAAAAUUAAAUUAUUAAAACCUUAUUUCCCUCUCAAAAGACGUGAUUGAUCUAAGUAAUUGUAGUUAGUGGUAGAGUCAAGAAGUUGGUAACCGCUCGAUUUUCCUAAAUUAAAUUUUUUUUAUAAUUUAUAAAAUUUGAAAUUAAUAAUAAUAAAAUUGUAUUUUAUUUCUUCAAAAAUGAUAACAGAUUUAUCCAAACACUAAAAUAUACUAACUUUUCCAAAAAAAUAAAUUUUUUUAGUGAAAUUAUUUUUCAAAAACCAUGUCGAAUGAAAUAAGCGGAGCCUAAAUAUAAACAUCAUAUAGUAUAUUAAGCCAGCAACAAUAUUAGCACAUGCAACGAUUGCCUUUUGGUUUUCAUUCACAACGUGAGGAGCCUCUGACGUAUCCUUUGGUGUACUGCAGGCCCAUAUUAGGUGAGGAAAGUAGGUAAGGCAUUUAGGAACCAGUUGAUGUUUAUAUGAUGGAAUCCUUACCUAUGAUAACCCAACGCGAACAUUUUAUCCUACUAAAUAUUGCCAAUUACAUGUCGCCUUUCUGUUGCAACCGGCCAUAUGCCAUUUGGUACCUGCUUCAGCUCGUUUGUCUCCAUUUGAUUUCUAAUUUUUUUUAUCAAUUUAAUACUUAAAUUUAGUUUUAAUGUUUUAUUUGAUAAUUGAGUUUUUUUUUAAAUUGAUACUUAAUAUUUUUUUCUGCACAAUUAUUUAAAUUUAACUUCAGUAUUCAAUUUGAUACAUUAAUUUUUCUUUUAAAAUAUGAAAUUUAUUAAGAUAUAUCAUAAAAAAAUUAAAACACCAAGAGUAAAAUAUACACAACAAAACUAUAAUAUGUGCAUUAAAAUUUAUAUAAAUAAAUUUUAAUUGAGCCAUUAAUUACAAAAAAUCCGAAAGUAAACUAAAAUUAACGGGAAUAUGAUGCAUAUAAACGAACAUGCCAAAAUCUACAUGAAUCAAAUUGUUAAUGUAUAAAAAUUAUAAUAAUUUGAACACACAUGUAUGUAUGGCCCAGUCUUAAAUUGUUUUUUAAACUUUGAAAUAUUCUAAUUGAAUCUUGAAAGUAUCAAUAUCACAUCAAAUAUGCUCUUUUAUUAGUCUAGUCAUUAGUUCGGGUGUUAAAUGCUAAUUUAAAAUUGAUGUGGAGCAUAUUUAAAAUAUGUUGAUCAAAUUAUAAACAUAUAUGUAACUAUUGCAUGAAUAACUCAGAUUUAAUGUUUUUAAUUAGAAAAAAAAAUGACCCUCUUGAUACAAUUUAUUUUUCAUAUUUAACAUGUUUAUGUGAUAAGUACACACGUUUUAACAAUUUGUUCACCGUAUUUAAAAUAUACUCAAUGUCAAAUUCAAACUAAUUUCAAUGUCUAAUCUAACAUAAUGACAUGAUUGAUAUAAUAUUAAUAUUUUGAAAUGGGAGUGGACAAGUUAGAAGUGGAAGGCAAAGCAUUAACAAUUAUAAAGAAAAGUCGGUCCAUAGCCAUUGGCAAAUUAGAAAUAAGUGCAUACAUCAGAGACAUUCAUCACAAGAGGAUUUCAAAGCAUUCAUUUCAAACAUGUACAAAGAUCAACCAACAUAAUUGUUGUUCCAAUAGGGUCGGAAGCGUGUAAAUUAUUGUACUAAAAAAAUCACACAAAGUUCAAUUCCCAGGGAAGAGAGGUGGAUCACAUGGAUCUCUUAAAUACCAAGUCUUUCCUUAGACAGAAUAUCCCUUCUAUAGUAAUUUAAUAGCACAAUUAAAUACUACUAUUAUACCCUCAAAUAUUGAAAGAAAAAUAGGACAAGAAAGAACACAAGAGUUUUAACGAGGUUCGGUAAAUUAUACCUACGUCCUCGGGCACUAACACCAAAUGAUAACUUUACUAUCUUCAAAGUAUUACAAACAAAUAGAAUUCCUUAAGAAUUCUCAAAUGGGAGAAAAAGAAAACUAAGAGAGAAAGAUUGGUUGGGAUGAAUUGAAAUGAGAAAUGAGAAGGCCUAUUUAUAGUUGAGGUUCAAGGACCAAACAAUAAAUAGCCCAUUAUCUCAAGGACCAAAAAAAAAUUAUCCCUUGCCACUUUUCUAAAGUUGGUGGUUGUCAUUAUUGAUUGUCUCCCAUUAAUGUUAAUGGCAACCAUUAUUAAUUGUCUUCCAUUAAUGUUAACAAUCUCCACCUUGAAGAUUUGAUUAGGAUAAUCACAUCUUCACACACUUCCUUCAACUCCCCAAAUUCGAUAAAGCUAUCUUUUGUAGUGCCUACAAAUGCGCUCUCGAGCGCCAUACACCUGAAGGUGCUCAAAUUCUCAGGAUUUUAAUCAAGUUCAAACAAUGAUUAAACUUGAUUGUUAUUACCACCUUGGUCAUCAUAUCUGCGAGAUUAUCUGCUGUCGAAAUCUUCUGAAGUAGAAUUUUUCCUUUUUCAAAGACUUCCCGCACAAAGUGAUAUCUUACGUCGAUAUGCUUGGUUCUUGAAUGAUAGACUUGAUUUUUCGCUAAAUGAAUAGCGCUCUGACUGUCACAAUAUAAACUUAUGUGACUUUGAACAACUCCUAAGUCUUUCAACAAUCCAUUAAGCCAAAUAGCCUCCUUAACAGCUUCUGUAACCGCCAUAUAUUCUGCCUCUGUAGUAGAGACAGCUACUGUAGACUGUAAGGUAGACUUCCAACUUACUGGGGCUUUCGCAAGAGUAAACAGAUACCCCGUAGUUGAACGACGUUUAUCUAAAUCACCAGCAAAGUCGGAAUCAACAUAUCCAACUACAAACUGACCAAGUGCUUCAUCCUAUUCAAAAAUUAAACCAACAUCUACGGUUUUUCGAAGAUACCGUAGAAUCCAUUUCACAGCUUGCCAAUGUCCUUUUCCAGGAUCAUGCAUAUACCUGCUCACAACUCCAACAGCUCGUGAAAUGUCAGGCCUCGUACACACCAUCGCAUACAUCAAACUCCCAACUGCAUUAGCAUAUGGGACUUUCGCCAUAUAUUCUCUUUCUUCUUCAGUUUUCGGAGAUAAUUGAGCACUAAGUUUCAAAUGAGAAGCAAGUGGGGUACUUACAUGUUUUGUGUUUUCAUUUACACCAAAACAUUGUAAUACCUUUUUCAGAUAUUGCUUCUGAUUUAAACAGAGCUUGCCUCUCGGUCUAUCUCUACUUAUCUCCAUGCCGAGAAUCUUCUUGGCCUCACCUAGAUCUUUCAUCUCGAACUCUUGAUUCAACUGAGCCUUCAGCUUAUCUAUCUCAUUUUGGCUCUUCGAAGCGAUUAACAUAUCAUCAACAUACAAGAGUAGAUAAAUGAAAGAUCCGUCAUGCAGCUUCUGCAAAUAUACACAAUUGUCAUAUUUGCUUCUUGUGUACUUCUGCCUUCUCAUAAAGCUAUCAAAUCGUUUGUGCCACUGCCUCGGGGAUUGCUUCAAUCCAUAUAGCGAUUUGUUCAGCUUACAAACCCAAUUUCUACCACCAUCAUCUGUGUAUCCUUCGGGCUGAGUCAUAUAGAUCUCCUCUUCUAACUCUCCAUGCAAGAAAGCCGUCUUAACAUCAAGUUGAGCUAGCUCCAAAUUCAACUGUGCUACCAAGGCCAACAAAAUUCUAAUGGAGGAAUGCUUCACAACAGGGGAAAAUACAUCAUUGUAGUCAAUUCCCUCCUUCUGAGCGUAGCCUUUAGCUACCAAUCUUGCCUUGUAGCGAAUAUCCUUCUUGCUAGGAGAUCCAUCUUUCUUUGCGAAUACCCACUUGCAUCCGAUUGCCCUUUUACCUUUCGGUAAUUACUCUAACUCCCAAGUAUUGUUCUUCCGGAGAGACUGCAUUUCUUCAUCCAUGGCGCUUUUCCAUUUAUCACUUUCUAAGCUUUGCAUUGCUUCUUGAUAAGUGAUAGGAAUAUCAUCAACAACGGGAAGGGCGUAGGCCACCAUAUCAGUAAAUCGAGCAGGUUUACGAAUUUCUCUCCUUGGCCUUGCAACUGCAACUGGUUCUGGUGUACUUAGUGGUUCUUGGGUCAGAACCUCUUCAACCUCUAAUUCCUCCAUUGUGGCUGGAGAAUUAGACUUAUUAACUGGGCAAAUCCCCAUCUGCUCAAACUCCACCUGUUUUGGAGUACACUCCACCUGCUGUGGAGUAUUGCUCGUCUGAAUAUCUUUAUCUGCUACCUUUUUCAAUGUGGCAGAUUCAUCAAAGGUAACAUCUCUGCUACAGAUCAUUUUCUUUGUGCUUAAGCACCAAAGACGAAAUCCCUUCACUCCAGAAGUGAUUCCCAUAAAGAGAGCUUUCUUUGCCCUCGGAUCUAACUUUGACUCCUUCACAUGGUAAUAUGCAGUGGAUCCAAACACAUGUAAGGAAUCAUAAUCUGUAGCCGGUUUUCCAGACCAUACCUCCAUAGGAGUUUUUCUUUCUAAUGCAGAUGAUGGCAAACGAUUAACAAGAUGGCCAGCGUAUGUCACAGCCUCAGCCCAAAAUUACUUGCCCAACCCAGCAUUGGACAACAUACAUCGAACUUUCUCCAGCAAUGUUCGAUUCAUACGCUCUGCCAAUCCAUUCUGCUGUGGUGUAUCCCUAACUGUGAAGUGUCGAACAAUACCAUACUCUUGGCACACAUCGAAGAACGGAUCACUUUUAUAUUCCCUUCCAUUGUCCGUCCUAAGCCGCUUGAUUUUCUUGCCAGUCUGGUUUUUGAUCAUAGUUUUCCAUUUAAGAAAAACUCUAAGCACUUCAUCCUUAGUUCUCAUGGUAUACACCCAAACUCUUCUGGAAAAGUCAUCAACAAAAGUAACAAUGUAGUGUUUUCCUCCCAAUGAAGGUGUCUUGGAAGGCCCCCACACAUCUGAGUGAACAUAUUCCAAAAUACCUUUUGUAUUAUGGAUAGUAGUACCGAAUUUCACUCUCUUUUGCUUUCCCAGAACACAAUGCUCGCAAAAUUUUAAUUUGCAAGCCUUUGCACCUUUCAACAAUCCUUGCUUUGCCAGAAUUUGCAAAGAUUUUUCGCUGGCAUGUCCCAACUUCAUAUGCCACAACUGUAUUGAGUCCAAUUCUUUGUUGCCAGAAGCUGCAGCGACUGCUCCAAUAACUGUACUACCUUGGUAGUAAUACAAGUUAUUUUUCCUGAUGCCCUUCAAUAUCACAAGUGCGCCAGAUGUCACUUUCAAAACCCCAUCUCUCAUAGUAACAACUGAACCAUUGGAUUCCAGGGCUCCCAAUGAGAUGAGAUUUUUCUUCAAACUGGGCACGUACCGAACAUCAGUCAGAACUCUGGUUGAUCCAUCUUUAUUCUUUAAUUGGAUUGAACCUAUCCUAACAGUUUUACAGGCAUUGUCAUUGCCCAUAUAAACAACUCCUCCAUUUAGUUCUACUAAAUCAGAGAACCACUCCCGGUUAGGGGACAUAUGAUAGGUACAACCCGAAUCCAAUAUCCACUCAUCUGAAUGGAAUGACGAUGAUGAUGCAACCAGUGAUAGUUUAGAGUCACUGGUAUCAUGCUUUGCAACACAAGCAUCUACAGCAGCUUUUCCCUUAUUCUUCAACUUUGGACAAUUUUUCUUCCAGUGGCCUUUCUCAUGACAAAAAGCACAUUCAUCUUUCCCGAGUCUGGACUUUGACUUUGAUCUCCCCUUUUGAGUUUUCUUCCGAGUGUAUGAACGACCUCGGACUACUAAAGCUUUUGUAUCUCUGAUUGAGUUUUUCUGUUUGUCCUUCUUUCUCUGUUCAUAACUGUAUAAGGCCGCACAGACUUCGCUCAGAGAUAUAUCACUCCUGCCAUGAAGUAGAGUAGUUUGUAGGAACUCAAACUCCUCAGGAAGUGACCCCAACAGCAUCAAAGCCAAAUCUUCAUCUUUGAAUGUCUCAUCCAUAUUCAGCAAAUCAGUGACUAACUGAUUAAAUUUGGUGAUGUGAUCAUUCAUUGUGGUACUUGGGACGUAUGUGAAGCGAAACAGUCUUUUCUUCAAGUGGAGCUUAUUUUGACUGUUUUUCUUCAAAAAAAUUUCUUCAAGUGCCACCCACAACUUAUUUGCAGAAGUCUCCUUUGAAAAAGCAUACCUCUGCUCUCGAGAAAGGCAUGAUCGAAUUGUGCCACAUGCCAACCGAUUGAUCGCCUUCCAAUCUUUCUCCUGUACAUCAUCUGGUUUCUCUUCAUCAAUGGCAAUGUCUAGACCCUGCUGAAAAAGGGCAUCUAGAACCUCACUUUGCCACAUACCAAAAUGGCCCGUGCCAUCAAAGAUCUCCACGGCCAGUCUUGCAUUUGCAAUUGUCGGUCUUGUCCACAUGGACGAUGUUGAAGCUCCUACACCGACCGUUUUCUCCAUAAUCUUUCAAUAUACCUAAGAAAAUCUUUUCUGAUGUGGAAGAUCAGUUCAAACUGCAACCACAGAGUAUACUACGAUUAACCUUCGGCUCUUGAUACCACUUGUUGUUCCAAUAGGGUCGGAAGCGUGUAAAUUAUUGUACUAAAAAAAUCACACAAAGUUCAAUUCCCAGGGAAGAGAGGUGGAUCACAUGGAUCUCUUAAAUACCAAGUCUUUCCUUAGACAGAAUAUCCCUUCUAUAGUAAUUUAAUAGCAUAAUUAAAUACUACUAUUAUACCCUCAAAUAUUGAAAGAAAAAUAGGACAAGAAAGAACACAAAAGUUUUAACGAGGUUCGGUAAAUUAUACCUACGUCCUCGGGCACUAACACCAGAUGAUAACUUUACUAUCUUCAAAGUAUUACAAACAAAUAGAAUUCCUUAAGAAUUCUCAAAUGGGAGAAAAAGAAAACUAAGAGAGAAAGAUUGGUUGGGAUGAAUUGAAAUGAGAAAUGAGAAGGCCUAUUUAUAGUUGAGGUUCAAGGACCAAACAAUAAAUAGCCCAUUAUCUCAAGGACCAAAAAAAAUUAUCCCUUGCCACUUUUCCAAAGUUGGUGGUUGUCAUUAUUGAUUGUCUCCCAUUAAUGUUAAUGGCAACCAUUAUUAAUUGUCUUCCAUUAAUGUUAACAAUAAUUGCUCACAAACUAGCAUCAGAGAGUUUAAGAAGGAACAAGGAGAUUUACCUGGAAGUCGUGGUGCCGGAAUAUGCUCGGGUGUCGCUGGGAUCAUGACAUCAGAGAGAACGAGAACUCGAUUGAAGAGUGUUUUAGGGUUUCUGAAGAUCAAGGAGAACGAUAGAUAGUGAUCUUGGAGAAGACUAAUCGUGAGCCUCGGAGAACUGUAACUGACAAUAGAAGUAAUAUAAGCUUUCUAGAAAAGCUUGAAAUGGGUGACAGUUCAUUUUCAGAUUGCAUUGAGAUUUUUUUUGUUGUUUUUUUACUUUCCUUUUCCUAGAUAGAUGUUUCUGGAUUAAGGCCGUUAGUUUUCGGCCCAUUCUCUUUUGGUUUGCUUAGAUUUUGUUUUUGGAUUUAUUUAAUAUAGUUCAAUCUGAAUAUUUUUUAAUAUAUAUAUAUAUAUGUAUUCUGAAAAUUCAAUUAAAAUAUUUUAAAAUUUUAAAGAUUAGCUACAAUUAAUUAAUUAAAUUAACCUAAGGACAAAUCAUACUCUAUUAUUCCGAAACACCUUUCCUUAGUAGUACGCACAUGCCACCACCAUCUAUUCUAUGGCUAAUUAAAUAAUUAACAUAAAUAAAUUGUUAAAAAAUAUUAUUAUAUCGUCAUAGAAUUAGGCUAUCAAAUUCUCAAACUCUAGAUAGAGAAUUUUUUGGGAACAACCUUAAAAUUAGGGUAUAGAUUUGGUUUGAAAUUAAAAAUUUAAUAUUCUACCCCGUAUAUAUUAUGCUUAAGAAUAAAGGAAGGAAAUGUUCUUCGAAAAAAAAAAACCAAAGAGAGAAGGAAAUGUAUACGUAUGCGAAUAUCAUAUUUUAGAAGCAAUUUUAUAUAUAUUAAAUUACUUUAUUUGGUUGAAAUGUAAUAUUAUGUUGUUUGGGCUGUGGAAUGUAAAAUUAAUUUAAAAAGAUAUUUUAUUAAAUUAUUUUCCGUUAUAAAAAAAUAUAAAAAAAGUUAUUAAACUAUAUUUAAAACAAAAGUGAAAUAUGAAAAAAUAUAAAAAGUUAACACAAUAAUAAUAUAUAAAAGGUUUGACCCAAUCUUUGAGAAGGCCUGUAAAUUUUGUGUUGAUUUUUAAUAAUAUUCCUAGGACAGCCAAUAGGAUUACUCACGGUAAAGAAACGAGUUAUUGGAUUUUAAAGUUGAAACAUUCAUUCAUUAGCAAAAGAAGAUGAAAAAUGGAGUGUUAUUCGUACAAUUUUUCAUGGCAAUUACUCGGCAGAAAACAUCAAACAGAAAAUCCUUAUUACAGGACCAAGUUUACUGAGUUCCGUGUCUUCAACAAAUAUUUAUUCCAAUUUCAAAUGGACAACAACAAAGGGUUCACCACCUCAGUUUCUUAUGAAUCUAUUGCAUAAUGCUUUUUGAAUAAACUGCAAACAAUGUUUGAACAUUACACUAUAAAGUAAUGUUGAAUCACAUGCCGGCUUCAAGCCCUCCAUUCCAACAACAAUUAGGGAUAUGAGUUUUCCUUACCAACAAAUCCUACCCUUCAAGUUCGAGGCGGUUGGUUGGUAAAUGCCUAAUUACCUAUUGAAUUAUUCUCCUGUCCCACACCUAUCUGCUUCUUCUCAUAAUUUCUUCUGACUUGUUUUUAGUUUCUCACAUUAGAUUUCUAAUUUUAUACAAAGAUUUUCUUCAGAAAAUAUAAAGUCAGUUUUAAUCUAUUGGUUUCUCCAACAUCAUUUUGUCUGACUUGUUUUUUGUUUCUCACAUUAUAUUUUUAAAUAUAUCAUCAAUUCUUUUAUACAAUUAAACGGUAAAUUCACAAACAUAAAAUUUAACUCGAAUUUUUCAUCAAAAAGAGUUCAAUUUCAUUAACUAUGGAAAUUCAAUUGACCAAUUAUUCCCAUCUCUAUUUUUUUUCCUUAAAAGAUAAAAAUAAUUGCAAAAUAUAAAAAAAAUUAAAAAAAUGUUGAGAAAGAAGAUAUCAUUUCUUUUUACGUUUAUUUUUUUGUAUUUUCCUAUAAUUAAGAAUAAAAAAAUUAUUAAUUAGAUUCUUAACAUUAUUAAUUUUUUUUUCAAAAAUAAAAUAAAUGUGAUUGGGUUAGGUAUGGAUUAUUUUAACUUAAAUUAUGGUUGGGUUCUCUCUAUUUUGUUUAAUUUUAAGAAAAUAGUUCCUAUAUUUUUAUAGUAUCAUUAAUGAGUACAAAUAGUUAACACCCUUAGUUAUUUUGGUUUAAUUGUUGAAGCGAAAUUUUUUCUGAAAAAUACAGAUUUUAAUUUAUCAUAUAGAGAUAGAUAUUUUUGCAUGGUAGGUGUUUUAAAAAGAAAUUAUCUCCACAUUUUAUCAAAAUAGUUGUGGAUACCAAGCAUAUCUUAUGGAAAUGGAACUCUAACUUAGAAGUUUUCGAUCGGUAAGAGGUGUACAUUAGGGAUGUCCAUUGUCUCUUUAUUUAUUUGUCUUGUGUAUGGAAUGGCUCAGACAUACUAUUCUUUCCGAUGUCAACUCUGGGCGAUGGAUUCCUAUUUGUCUAUCUCGUUCAAGUCCCUCUCUUUCCCAUCUUUUCUUUGCUGACAACUUGAUUCUCUUUGGUCAAGUUGGGGAAAGUCAAGCUAGGGUUCUAAAAGAAGUGUUGGACAAUUUUUGUGACUAUUCUAGACACAGGAUUAAUGCUUAUAAAGCUAAUAUCUGUUUUUCAAAGGGAGUGAAUGAUGAGUUAGCAGGACGCGUAUGUCAUAUCCUCGGGUUUCAUAGAGUUCAAAAUCUUGGAAAAUAUUUGGGUGUUCCUCUCUUUCACGAUAGAGUGACUAACAAUUCUUUGCGUUUUAUCGUUGAUAACGUCCGUAGUAAAUUACAAAGUUGGGACACUAGGAAGUUGUCACUAGUCGGAAGGGCCACUUUGGCCCAGUCGGUUUUGAUGGCAAUUCCUAGCUAUUUUAUGCAAUCAAUGAUGAUUCCCAAAGGGCUCUGUAAUAUCCUGAUUUUGGGCCUAGUCGGAAUAGUGGUUUCGUGACCACAAAAUCCGAGAUAGAAAUAAUUAUUUUAUAAUUAUUUUGAGGUCUAUGAUAUGAUUGCAUGAUUGUGUGAAAAUUUCGUGAAGAAAUUUUAUGCAUAAAGUGCUUAAAUUGAAAUUAGGGAAUAACUCGAAUAAUUUGUAAAACUUGCAUUCUAGAAGUUUCUAGUAUGAAAUUGUUUUGAAAUAUUAAUUAGGAGGUCUUAAAUAGAAAAUUUACCAAUUUCUAAGUCUAUGGAGAAAAAUUGGACAUGGAUGGAAUUUUUGGAAAGUUUAGUAGUAAGGGCAUUUUGGUCAUUUAGGGGUAAAAUGAAUUAAAAUACAAAAUUAAAAGCCAAUUUUGCUCAUCUUCAACCCCAUGGCCGAAUACAGCAAGGAGAAACCAUGGCUAGGGUUUUUCAAGCUUCCAAGCUCGAUUGUAAGUCCGUUCUAGUCUCGUUUUUAAUGAUUUUUACAUUUUUGGAAUCCCAGUAAUUUGAUUUAACUUAUUCUAACAAUAAUUUAACCUAGGUUUUAUAUUUGGAAAAAUACCCAUAGGUGAAAUUUGUGUAUUUUGGUGUUUUAUGAUAGAAUAUAAGGUUUUAAAUUAUGUUAGACAACUUGUGCUACUCGGUUUUAAGUGAAAACGAGCAAAAGGGCUUAAUCGGUAAAAAUACCUAAUAGUCAUAAGUACAUGUUAGAGUGAGAAUUUGAUGUUGCCAUAGAAGGGAAAAAUGAUCAGCAUGUCAUAAAACAUAAGAAAAUAGGCUGAAGUUUAAUUUACGAGCUUUGGGUCAAAAGUGUAAAUAUGUAAAAGUUUAGGGGCAAAACUGUAAUUUUUCCAAAAUAUGAUUUUGGGUCAAUUUGAAUAAUGUGAGUCCUAAUUAGACUAUAUUUUAAAUGAUAGAGCAAGGAAAACUAAAAUUCGGGCUAAAAUAGGGAAAAUACCAAGUUAUGGACGAAAUGGUAAAAGUAGCAAUUUUCGCAUACGAGGUAAGUUCAUGUGUAAAUAAUGUAGCAUAAUUGUUAUUUUUAAGUUAUUGAUGUUAAUUAUAUGAUACGCUGAUUUUUAAUCGUGAAAUAUUAUGCUUUGUGGUUAAUGUUGAGUAAUAUGCAAAUUAUGUUUACUACUUGAUAAAUAUGAAUUGCUACCGAGUAUCGGUUCCGAUAUUCCAUGGAAGACGACAAAUGUGAGAUCGAGGGAAAAAGCCCGUUUGAACCUUAGGAAUAGAUUAGGAUACAAGUGACAUGUCACUAGGAUGUUUGAGCAUUCGAACUCGUUGAGUUGAGUCCGAGUUCACUUAUGGAUGCGAAUGUCUGAACUCGUUGAGUUGAGUCCGAGUUCGAGCGAUGUAACUAGGCAUCCGAGCUCGUUGAGUUGAGUCCGAGUUCACUUAUGGAUGCGAACACCCGAGCUCGUUGAGUUGAGUCCGAGUUCACUUAUGGGCGGGUUACAUGGUAGCUUGGCUACAUAUGUGGCACUUAUGUGCAAACUUUCCAUGUAUCCGAAUUAUAUUCCGAUGUGUUCAACGGGUAAAAUUCUACUCAAAUGGAGGAAUACUCGAGAUGAAAGGGACGUAUUGGUAAGUGUUGUGAAAUGAAUACUUUGAACAGGUAUGUACUUAACCCUCGGGUUGAAAACUCGAUAUAACAACAAUAUGGUAAGAUGAUAAAUGAAAAUGUGAUAUGAAUGUCUCGAUGAUGAUUUUGCAAAUGAUGUUUUAUGUUUGCUUAUAUAGUUAUGUUACUUGCUAUUUGCAUGUGAACUUACUAAGCAUUUAUGCUUACUCCCUCCUUUUCAUUCCUUGUAGUGUUGACAAGCCAGCUCGGAAAUCGGAAACGGUCAGAGGCACGCUCACACUAUCCGUAUACCAUCUUGGCAUAAUGGCUUGUAUAUUUUGAGUAUGACAUGUAUAGCAUUAUAAUCAUUUUGUGUAUAUGGUCUUAUGAUAUGGUUAUUGAGUGGUAUGGAAAUGCUUGGUAAUGAUUAGCCAUUGGAAUGGGUAAUCAUGAUCAUAUUUGGUGUUAUGUAUGCUAAAUUGCUAGCUAAUCCAUGGAAACCAUGAAAUAGGUAAAAUUUACCAUAAAAUAGAUUCAGACAGCAGCAGUGACGUGAGUUUGAAAAAUCACUAAAAAUAGUAUAGAUACAAUUAGAUGAUGAAUAAUAUAUGGAAUUGAAGAAUUAUGAGUCUAUUUUCAUAUGGAUGGAACAAAACAGGUAUAUGAGUUAUAUUUUAUGAGAUGUUUAAAUUUUUGUGAAACAGGCCCAGAGCAAUUUCUGGAUCCCCUGUUCUGACUUUGGAAAUUCACCAUAAAUUGUUCAAAGAUAAUUAGAAGUCAUAAUUUAUAUGUACAGAUUCCUUAUUGAGUCUAGUUUUAUUAGAAACAAACCUUGUAGUCAUUGAAAUUCUUUAUAGAGAGAUAUCUGAUUCGUAAUACACAGAUGUCAGAGCAGUCGAACCCUGAAACAGGGGAGACUUUAACUAAUAAAAUGUACUAAUUUUAUCAACCAAAAAUUCUAUAAAAAAAAUUAGUAAAUAUAUAUAUGAGUCUAGUUUCAGAAAAAAUUUACGGAAUUGGAUUUCGAGUUUCGUAACUCGAGAUAUGAAUUUUUAAGCGACUAUGACGCAGAUUGUUAGCUUGACUUAAAAUUUUAAAAAUAAAUUGUUUGAGCUGUUUAAGUAAUGAAUUAAGUCUAUUAACACCUCGUGUUCGACUCCGGCGACGGUCUCGGGUACGGGGCGUUACAGGCUCUAUGAGGAAAUAGAAUGAAUUGGUUAGACAAUUCAUCUGGGGGUCUUCUAAUGGUGAGAAGAAAUUGGCUUUGGUUAGUUGGGACAACAUUUGCCAACCUCGGGAUCAUGGUGGUCUAGGUUUUCGAAAGUUGAAAGAUCAUAACACCUCUUUUAUGAUGAAAUUGGGUUAUAGUAUUAUAACUGAUUCUAAGGCGCUUUGGGUUAUGGUUCUAAGGUCCAAAUACAAUAUUUCAAGUGGAUUUCCAGAAACAUUGUCGCGGGGAAGAGGUUCUUUCUUGUGGACAACCCUCACUAAAGCUUGGCCACUUAUUCGAGAGAAUUUGAUAUGGUCAGUAGGGGAUGGUACUAAAUAUUAGGUGUUUGUGUGACCCUUGGAUCUUGAAAGCGGGAUCGUUGGCUAAUAUUAUUCUUAGACAUUCCACUCUAGACAUGGAUUGUCUUUUGAGUGAUAUGGUGACAAAGGAUGACGAUUAGAACCUAGAUCUCUUUCGUCUUUGGCUCCCAAAGGAGGUGAUUUGGAAGAUUGUAGAGAUCCCUCUGCCUCAUCCGGAAGCAGGGCCUGAUAGGAUAAUUUUAGGAGGUAUCUCUACAGAUUCAUUUUCCCUAAAAAAAGCCUAUAAGAAGCUCCAAAAAAGGUUAUGGAAUCCAAAAGACCGAUGUGGCGCAUCCCCUAAAAAUUUUAAGGGCCCUGUGACAGCCCUAAAUUGACCCUAGUCGGGAAAUGGUUUCGGGACCACAAAACCGAGUCAUAAAAAUAAUUAACCGUUAUUUUCUAUGCUUAUUGUGCGUGAACAUGCAUGUGUGAAAGUUCCAAUCUUUAAUUUAUUCAUUUGAAUGUGAAUUUAUUUAAUAGGACUUAUAUAAGACAUUUUUAAAAUGUGAUAGGUUAAUGUGUAAGGGUCUAUUAAUGCAUGUUAUAAAAGUAUGGACUUGCAUGUCAAAUUGUCCAUUUUAGUUAGUGGCCGGCCAUGUUGUUAAUUAUUAUAUAACAUAGAUAUAUUUAUUUCUAUUAUAUGGUUUUAUAAUAUAGAAUAAGGUUAUUAAAGAUAGAAAAGGGGUGAAGAAAAAAAAAGAAUUCAUCUUUACUUCCUUCUAGCCGAAAAUAAGAGAGCAAAAGAGGAAAUAGCUUAAGUCUUUCGGUCACCUUUGAGCUGGAAAUUAAGGUAAGAAAUUCAAGUUAGUUUUUUUAAAUCUUAGCAUAGUUUAAGCUAGAUCCUAAGUUCCUUACUUAGCCCAUGCCAAAAUUUUGAAGUUGAUGGUGAUAUGAACAUUCGGCUAUGGAAGAUGUUAAAGAGAAUGGUUGUAAUGUUAUAUAUAUUUUGAUAGUAUAUUAGAUGGUUUGAGAUUUGAGCUAGUUACAUGUGCUAUUAUGAAGAUUUAUGGAUGUUUUAGAAUCGGCCUAAGUGUUUUAGUCAUUAAUAUAUAUAUUGCCGAAUGGAUGCUUAAGGAAUUGGUUAAGUACAUUGUUGUUAAAGCUUGUUGUUUUUGUAUAAUUGUUGCCUAGCUACUAAAUGAACUUAGGGUAUUAUAGAUAAGUUUAAGAGUGGCAUAAUUGAAAUGAAGUUUCCUUGUGCCGAAUGUGGUUUUAGUGCAUGAAUUAGGAGUUUAAUUUCAUUCGGUAACUCAUACCAAAUUGGGAGAUAGUAUUAAACAUUAGUAUUAUUUGUUAAAAAAAAAUUGAAGUGAGCUUUGAAUGGUUGUUUUGCUUAUAAUGGCUGAAUGUGAACUUAAGUUUUGAAUUACAAUUGAAGCUUGUUAGUCAGUUGAUGAUGUCCUUUGAUAGCCCUUUUGAUAUUCGGCCAUUGUUAAUGAAUUUUGAAUUAGUUAUAAAUUUCUAUGUUUUAAUUAGCAAAUUUAAUUAUUGAAGGUUGAGCUAAUUAUAUAUGAUGAUAUGCUCUAAACUCAAAUGGUAAGUUCUUAAGUGUUUGGACUUGGAAAUUUAAGAGCAAAUUGUAAUAAUCUGCUUAGGACAGCAGCAGUAGCGUGAUUUUUGAAAAUCACCAUAAAUUGUUGGAGUGGAAUUAGAGACUGAAUAAAAUAUGUAAUCAAAGCUCAAUGAGUCUAGUUUCUUAUAAAAUAAACAGUGAAAGCAAAGGAAUUUUCUAUAGAGAGAUAUUUAAAGUUGUGUGUGACAGUGUCAGAAUGAAUCCGUGAUCCCUUGUUCUGUUUUUAGAAAAUCAUUAUAAAUAGUACAAAAAUUUUUAUAAGAUAAAAUUUAUAUUCUUAGACUCCUUAAUGAGUCUAGUUUCAAAUUAAAUAAACAAGAACAUAUUUUGAAAUCUGUACAAUGAGAAAUUUGAUUCGUAGUGAAGAGUGGUCAGUAUAGUCAAACAGUGAAAUAGGGGAAACUUUAAGAAAAUUCUGGUCUUGAUUGGCCAAACCAAAAAACCUUAAAAUUUUAUGGAUAAAAGGUAAAUGAGUCUAUUUUCAAGAAAAAUUUAUGGAAACUGAUUUGGAGUUUCGUACCUCCGGUUAUAAAUAAUUUAAUGACUGUUGCUCAGGAAGUCAGCUUAUAGUGAAAUUGUGAUUAUAUUGUAAACAUUGAUUCUUAUAAGCUUACUAUAAUCUGUAUGUGUGAAAUUCGAAUAUAUAUGUAUUAUAUUCUGAAAAUGAUAUUUGAAUAGUCGAUUAAUGAUUAGUUUAAAAUUUGUUGAAUUAAAGCUCAAGAGCAUAGGGGGGCAACUUCGAAUAAGGGAGAAGAGAAAGUAACCGAGUAACCAUUUCGCAACCGUUCAAAUAUAUCCGAGGUAAGUUUUAAGUAGUUUCCUUUAGUAUAUAAUUGACGAUGCCACUAUAAGGGUAUAGUAGGUAAAUUGUGAUCUUUGGCUUGCACUUAAAUUAAGAUGUAUAAUAGAUAAUGCAUGUAUAUGACUUAUAGUUUGAUGGCCACUUUGAAUUUAAGAUUAAAUGAUGAAUAGAAUGAGUGAUAUGAGAUAUAACCACUGAGCUGAAAUGUGAAUGAUGAUGUGCGUAUCGAGUUUAUAUUCGAAUGUAAUAUACGACUAUUAAGUGAUAAGGUGACUGUCAUGUGUUAUGACCAAAUGUGUAUGAGAUUGAAAAUAUCCGGACAUGAGGUCUGCAGGCUAUAUGCUGGAAAAAUAUCCGGACAUGAGAUCCGCAGGCUAUAUGCUAGGAAUAUAUCCGGACUUGAGGUCCGCAGGCUACGUGCUGGAAAAAUAUCCGGGUUAAAGACCCGCAGGCUUACGCUAGUAAUGUAUUCCGAGCUCUAAGAUUUGACAGAACCGAUGCCAGUAAGUUAAAUAAGAUUUCGACUUCGAAUAUCAGUGGUAAACAUCGUUGCGUAAGUAUUAUAUGUUUUACAUGUUAAGGUUCGUGUUAUGUGCUUAUAGUUGAAUUGAUUUUUUUUAGUGAUUUAAUAGUAUCAAGGCACGAAAUAUAUAUAUGUGCGUGAAUGAAUUCGGUAUUUGAGGAUAAGACAAUAAUAUAAUUGGUUAAUGUAAGUCACCAUAUGAAAGAAUGUGAUUAAAGGUAUUAGUAUAAUCUAUGUAAAUAGUGAAAUAUUUGCAAGAAGUCUUGUGUAUACAUACAUACAUAUCCGGUCAAGCGGUUUGUAACUAAUGUACUGAUGUAUAUUUGGUCAAGUGAAUUACAAUUAGAAUACAAGUUUUGUGAUACUCAAUGUUCAAUUUUUAUGAUGAGCAUUAAUAGUAUGAAUUACUUAAAACUUACUAAGCCUCGAAAGCUUACUCUGUUUCUUAUUUCUUUGUUUUAUAGAUUGUUGAUUUUGGCUAUUGACUCGGGGAUCGUCAGCAGUUCUUCAUACUAUCGAUCUUUUUGGUACAGUUAUAUUUUGGACUCGAUAUAGCAUGUAUAGGUUGGACUGUUGACAAAGAAAAAAAACAAAAAAAAAUAUGUUUUAAAAUUGUAAUUAUCUUGGCCGUAUGAAAAUGGCACUUAUGACUUAUAAAUAUGUAUGUAUUCAGUUCGAUUUAUACUUGUGUCGGUAGAUUAUGUGAUUGAAAUUAAAUGUUUAGCUUGGUAAUACCUCAUAGCCUAUACCGGCGAUCGGAUACGGGCUAGGGGUGUUACAGGCCCCAACAGGUUAGGUUCUUUAUUUGGCUUGCUUUCAAUCAACGCCUGCUUACCAAGAGGGAACUCGCACGAUGAAGACUAGGGCAUGAUUCAGUAUGUGACGUUUGUGGUCAUGGUUCAGAGGAUGUGUGUAAUACCCCCUACCCAUAUUCAUUACCGGAGUAGGAUACGAGGUAUUACCGGAGUUUACGAUUUUUUUUAUAUUCAAUAUAGCCCCUUUAUAAAUAUCUAACCUUCCCUGCAACAUUAAAUCGAGACCAAUCCACUUCAACCAAACCAAUUCAACAUAUUUUCAAGAUAAAUUCAUGCAUAUUUAUAAGAUAACGUCAUCACAUACCCAAAACUAGGUUUGUUAACCAUACUAAUGGCUAACUUUAUAUUCAUUUCAUGUUAACAUUUACUUUAUUAGCUUAUACAUGCCAUUGAUUUCCAAAAUAAAGUUUCUUUAUAUACCGAAAUCCUGAGGUUGAUAGUGUGAUGUGUCUCCGACCAAAUCCGACCUCCAAGCUCUUAACACUACAAAACAGGGAAAAAGGAAACGGGGUAAGCACUUCGUGCUUAGUAAACUCAUGUAACAAAAAUUAUACUUACCUAAUAUUUUCAAUACAAUACAAUAAAUAUUCAUAUAUCCAUUCAAUGCAGUAUUACCCUAAUAUGCACAAACUCAACAUUCAAGUUAGUAUAAUAAUUUCCAUGUACCAAUAAUAUAUACCAUCAUUGAUGAGCUCAUCAAUAUCAUAAUUUCCAUUUCCUUGUUAUUUUUCCAUAUUUAUCCCGUUGAAUUUAUCGGAAUUUCGAUGGAUUUUCAGAGGUACACUUUUAGUGUACAAUUCCGGGUCCGUCAAUUCAUAUUCAUGUGCGCACAUUUCCAUUUCAGAGAGCACACUCCCGCGAACCUUAACCUUGCAGCGGGAUUACCAGUCCAGGCUAAAUCCCCUGCAACGACAAUUACUCUAAUGAUCUUGGAUCUGAAUUACUAGUCCAGGCUAAAUUCAGACCCUAAUUCGGAUUACCCGUACGGGCUAAAUCCAUUUUACACAUAUUCUUCGGGAGGGCUAUAUCAGGAUAGGAUCACCCGUCCGGGCUAGAUCCUUUUUACCGUCAAUUCCUUUUCAGAGAUCCAUCGAAUUUUCCUUUCAUUCAAACGGGAUUUCUUCCCAUUUUAUCAAAUAUAUCAAUGUUUCAUUAAUUUUCAUACAAUGAACAUUCAAAUCAUAUUCACAUCAAUAACAUACAAUCUCAAGCAAUUUAAGAAUAUAAUUCAAGUUGCACGAACUUACCUUGAUACUUGUUUGUAAACAAAAAAAAAUCUACUAAUCCCGAACUUUUUCCUUUCCUCGAUCUAGCUUCGUAUUUGAAUCUUCUGGAUCUAAAUAAAUAAAUUUAAUUAUCAAUUUAAUACAUUUCAUGUUCAUAUGCAACAUUCUCUAUAAUUCAACUAUUAUUAUUUAUAGUUUAUUCAAAGCUAUCUAUUUGAGUCAUAGUCACUAAUUAUUUAUAACUCGAUCUACGGAACUCCAAAUUAAGAUCCGUUAGUUUUCCCUGAAACUAGACUCAUAUAUAUUCUUACCAUAAAAUUUUUAGAAUUUUUAGUUUAGCCAAUAAGUACAGUUUAUUCUUUAAAGUCACCCCUGUUCUGCUGUCUGACAGUUCUGACCCUUCUUCACUAAAAAUUAAUUAUCUCUUCAUACAGGAUUCAAAUGAUGUUCUUGUUUGUUUCUAUUAAAAAUAGACUCAUUAAGGAUUUUAUGCAUAUAAAUUUGAGCCCCUAAUUAUUUUUAUUCAAUUUUUUUUUAUUUUUCAAAUUCAGAACAGGGGAACCCGAAUUCAUUCUGAUCUUGUCUCACAAAAUUCAUUAUAUCUCAAAAUUUACAAAUCCAUUGCUUACACUAUUUCUUCUAUGAGAAACUAGACUCAAUAAGCUUUAAUUCCAUAUUUUGUUCAUCUUCUAAUUCGAUUUAUAAAAUUUAUGGUGAUUUUUCAAAGUUAGUCUACUGCUGCUGUCCAAACUGUUUUUGUGCAAGCUGUUUAUUACCAUUUUUCCCCUAAGCUUUUAAUAAAUGAUAAUUUCGUCCCUACUCAAUUAGCCUCUCAAUUGAGCUGAUUUUUCUCAAUUAAAAUUUUAUUAUAUCACCUUAAACUAGUUUACAACCUUUAGGAAUCAUAAUUUCAGCAAUAGACUUUAAUUCCAAGCAUUUUCACAAUUAGGUCCUAAAAAUCAAUUUCUAUUGAAAUUACCUAAUAAAAUCAUCUCAUAAACAAAUUAAAGCUUUAAUUUCAUUAUAUUUCAUCAUAAAAUUACAAAAAUCAACCAUGGUGACUUUCAAUUUCAUACAUGAAAUCAAAAACUAAUGAAUUUAAUAGUAGGACCUAGUUGUAAAAGUCUUAGAAACAUAAAAAUUACAAGAUAAAGGCAAGGAUUAACUCACUUGGUGAAAAAGUAUGAAAUAGCAGCUUAUAUAACCCUCCUAUGGCGUUUUUAGCUGCUGGAAUUGAAGAGAAAUGAAGAGAAAUUUAGAUAUUUCCUAUUUAGUCCUAGUUUUAUUUAGUUAAUUUUGCAAUAUUCCAAUUUUGCCCUUAAUUUAUCAAUUUUCCUGCUGAUUUCAUGCCCUUUCUGUCCAGCCAUAAUAAAUUUUGGGUCUAAUUUCCUUUUAAAACCUUUAUCAUUAGACUCUUAAGCUAUUUAAUCAUUCUAGCAACUUUUACACCUAUUACAAUUUAGUCCUUUUCAUUUAAUUGACUACCCAAACAUUAAAAUUUCUUACGAAAUUUUAAUACCACAUUACUAACAUUUCAUAAAUAUUUAUAAAAUUAUUUUAGACUCGGUUUUACGAGAUAGAGGUCUCGAUACCUUGUUUUUACCCAAUUUCUUUAAUAAUUUCUUUUUCUAACUAACCACUAAAUCGGUAAAAUUUUUUCUAUCAAUAUUUUCAUAUGAUUUUCCUAUCAUAUCAAUUUUCAUGCAAAAAUAUUGAAAUAAAUUUCUCUUUAAAUUGGAUUUGUGGUUACGAAACCACUAUUACGAUAACCUUGAAUUUAGGCCAUUACAAUGUGCUUCAUGUUAUUAGGGAUUGUCCUGCAACGAGAAAUAUUUAGGAUCAUCUAAUUCCAGUCGAAUGGUAUUCUAUGUUCUAUGCAGGAAAUUUAUAUGAGUGGCUUGUGUUAAACUUGGAAAAUUAGCAUGGUUGGUGCUUCGGAGAUGUAGAUUGGCAAUAUCUAUUUGGGAUCAUCGCUUGGCAUAUUUAGAAGAAUCACAAUCUUUUCCUUUUCCAGGGUGCUCCAUGGAGUGAUAAUGAAACUAUUAAGGUGACGUAUAGUUGGGCAAAACAAUACGUCUCUUCUACAAGGGGCAUGUCAACUGAAACACGAUGUAAGUUUUCAUCUUCAUAUUUAACUAACGAUUGGGUCACAUUGAGUAAAGAUGGAUCUAUCUAGAAAGAAGUUGGUUUUGCGGCGGUAGGGGGAAUAGUGCAAGAUCAAGGUGGAACGUGGAUUCUUGGAUUUAAUAGAUAUUUGGGAAAUUUUUUUGUUUUUUAUGCUGAGUCGUGGGGUAUUUUGGAUGGUCUGAUUAUUUUAAGUGAACGGGGCUAUGACAAUGUGUUAAUUCAAUCUGACUAUCUUGAGCCGGUUACGACUAUUCAAGAGAGGUCUUCAGAAGGAUCCAAUUAUACUUUGGUUAGGAGAAUUCAUUAGAUGUUGUCAUGGUUCAAACAGUGGAGCUUUAGACACAUUUCUAGCAAGGAAAAUCAGGAUGCUGAUCAUAUGGUCAAUCUAGUCCAACAUAGAACUAAAGAUUUACGUUUGUUUGAGAUCUCCUAGUUUGAGGGAUUGGUCUGGUUUUUGUUAUAAGUUUAUUUAUUUUACUUUUUCACCAAAAAAAAAAGUUGUGGAUAAUAAAUAUUUAAACUAAUUAAUAUCAUUACAAAAAUAGAUAAUUAAAUUAUGUUAAAUUAAAAUAUAAAGAUUAAAUCAAAAUAUGAUGAUAGUAUAGAUUAAGUUGCUCCAUUAUAGUGCAGCAUGAAAAAGGACAACGGAAAAGAGUUAGGCGGGUUUAGACUUCUUGCUUUUCUUUUUGUUUUCUCUCUUGUGAUCCACGUCCGUUACAUAAAUUAUUUCAAAUUCCUUUUCAUCAAAUGUGAUUACACCUCUUUCGUCAAAAGUUUGAAAAUCCUCUUUGUAAUGUUAAAUAAGCCCUUAAAAUCUACCUUUUUUUAUUAUUAUUUACGUUUUUUCAGACUUUUCUUUUUGGUAUAAUAUUAUCUAAUAAUUAUGUGUUAGAUAUCACAUUCUUACUUAAUCACAUUAAUUUUUUAAAUAAAAUUGAUAUUUUUAUUUUUAAAAAAAAGGCAAGUUUGUAUGUUCUUAUAUGAGUUUUUUUUAAUAUAUCUUUUAAUAGAAACUUUUUAAUCGUCGGUAUUACUAGGAUAUGUUUUAAUUAAUCGAUCAACUAUCAUAUAUUAAUUUCUCUAAACACAUAUUAGAAUUUGAUAGUCCAAAUUUACCGGCAUUAUUCUUUUAUCCUUCAAAUCAGAGUCAUUGGCGGGACUUCCUUUUAAGAUAUCCUCAAGCAUAUCAGUUACAACCUUGCUAUCACAUUCAAUUAUUGUUUUAUAAUAGCUCCUCAGUCGAACUCAAAGUAAUAAUUGCCCACAAUUCAGCGGUAAGCACAGAACUUGUGUUGCUGGUAAUCUGCUGGAAAAUAAUUGCCCAUUCUCAUCAUCAAAUUGCCGAAGGGAAUCACAAGAAAUAGGAAACAAACCAAGGCUAAAACCAACAUGAUUUGGUAGCCUAAAUCAUCAUCUCUUUUGAAAUGACCAUAUCUUCUGUGAUAUCGCUUCAUUUUCUAUACAAUAUAGUACUAUCCUGGACCACCUUUCUUUUUUCAUAAAAAGAUUAAUAAUAAGAAGAAGAAGAAAAAAUAAUAAUAAUAACGUCGAGUGUUAUUCCCUAAUGCCUAUAUUAUUACUUUGAAGAACCUCUUCAGAGUGGCUGGUAAUCUGCUGGAAAAUAAUUUUGUUCCUAUUCUUCCACAAAAACCAACAAGCGACAGCAAACGUUACACCCUAAUCUGCUAUCCUCGAAUUCAAAGUAAGUGAGAAAAAUGAUAUAAUUUAGAGCUUAAUUUUAUAAUUAAGGCAAUAAUUAUUCAAAGUAAAAUUUAGAUGGGAUUCCAAAUAAAAGAAAUUAACUCCUCAAUUAGCACUUGCUUGAAGUCAGAUCUCUGGACACACCCUUCGUCACACCUUGGAUUAAAAUUCAGGUGUUAAAAGUUUGUAAAUAUAGGCAUUAGGGAAUAACACUCGACGUUAUUAUUUUUAUUUUCUUCUUCUUAUUAUUAUUAAUCUUGUUAUGAAAAAAGAAAGGUGGUCCAGGAUAGUACUAUAUUGUAUAGAAAACGAAGCGAUAUCCCAGUAGAUAUGGUCAUUUCAAAAGAGAGGAUGAUUUAGGCUACCAAAUCAUGUUGAUUUUAGCCUUGGUUUGUUUCCUAUUUCUUGUGAUUCCCUUCGGCAAUUUGAUGAUGAGAAUGGUUGUCUUUUUCAGUGGCAAGUCACUACUCCAAGCCAUGCCAAGCCAGCAAUCUUAUAUUUUAUGCCGUUACACUAUUGUUUGGAGACAAGGAAUAAAACAAUCGGGAUACGGUUGAUGAAAGUGAAAACCCCAGAAACUUUUGACUAGGUUUGCAACACUUCAGCCCAGGGUUUGAUUGAAUAACGGUGAAUGAUACUUUUUUACAUGGAAAAAAAGGCUUGCUGGUCAAGGCAAAUACUCACCAGUCACCAAAGAGCAUAUAAAUAUGCUUUUAAACAGAGAGAGGCUAGCCUUUAACAAAGUUUGGAGUAAGUUGAAACUCCAAAUCCCUGAGAGUAUUUCAUUUCGAACUUUUAUCAAGUAAAUGUUUCUCAAUCUCUCUUUUCAUUAUUCUGUUCUGUUCUUAUCUUUGUCUUUUUCCUUGGUGACUUGGGAGGGUAUCUCAAGUUUGGUUUAUGCUCAAAUGAUGCCUUUAUAGAAAAAUUUUCUUCACUUUCUGUUGCACUGCUGAUAAAGCAUAACUGCAGCUUUUGCAAAUUUGUUUUUUUUUUUUUCCUUUAGACGGGUGCUUGGGAGUCAUUGUUGCAGAGAAAUUUCCUGUUAAUAAUAGGGGAACAAUCUUGCUUAAAUUAAUUGGCUUAAAUUAAUUGAUUUGUUUGCAGCAGCCACAACAUAAUAAAUCCUAUAGAUUCUGAAGUUGUUGAGUAUCAAAGUAAUUGCUUGGGAGCCACUCAAUGGCCUCCGAGAAUGGUUUUAAUGGUGAGAAAGUUACCGACUUGCAUGAAGCCGGUACAUCGAAAAGCCAGGAAGAGUCACAGAAAGUCCCUGGCGAUAAUGGAGAAAAUCAAGAUCCUGAAAGCAGCAAAGGAGAUGAGAAAACUAACACGGUUCCAUUUUACAAGCUGUUUGCAUUUGCUGAUUCUACGGAUAUCUUAUUAAUGAUCGUCGGCACAACCGCUGCAACUGGGAAUGGUCUAUCUAUGCCCCUUAUGACAAUCCUGUUUGGGAAUCUCAUUGAUUCUUUUGGAACAAACCAGAGUAAUGGCAACGUGGUUGAAGCUGUCUCCAAGGUAUUUCUGCAUGUAGCACGAACAUAGCUGGUGUGUCUUUUUACUUUUAGUUUAUUGUUUUGUUUAAACGUCUCACAUGGGGAUUAUUAACUGAAUUCUUAAAACCAUAUCUAAGGUUUCUGUGAGAUUUGUCUACCUGGCGAUGGGGGCUGCGGCGGCUGCGUUUCUCCGUAAGAAAAUCUCUAAUUUAAAUCAUAUUGCCUGAUGUUUAAUGUGGCUUCAGACUCAUGCUGAAAAGCUUGGAUAUUGUUAUUUUUUUCAGAGGUGAGUUGCUGGAUGAUCACAGGUGAGAGACAAGCUGCACGAAUACGGGGCCUGUACUUGAAAACCAUAUUGAGGCAAGACGUUGCUUUCUUUGAUGUGGAAACAAACACAGGGGAAGUUAUUGGAAGAAUGUCGGGGGACACAGUUCUCAUACAGGACGCCAUGGGCGAAAAGGUAUACGACUAUACUAUCCUAGUCUUGACUAGGAUGUUUAGAAUCUUCGUUGAGUAAGAUGUUUUCAUUGGAAUCAUAAUACACAUGUAACCAUGGAAUAUUCACCUCUUUUUUGCAGGUAGGGAAGUUUUCACAAUUGAUAUCCACGUUCAUUGGAGGCUUUGUUAUAGCAUUUGUCAAAGGAUGGCUUCUUACUCUCGUAAUGUUAUCUGCUAUCCCUCUACUUGUAAUAUCUGGUGGAACCAUAGCCGUUAUAGUAUCCAAGAUGGCAUCCCGGGGACAAAAUGCUUAUGCUAAAGCUGCCACUGUAGUUGAACAGACAAUUGGUUCGAUCCGAACUGUAAGUUCUAUAUUAAAAAUAGUCGCAGCUAAGUUAUCAAUUUUUGCCCCUAUUUUUUGGUGAAAAUAUAUGGCCAAUCAUUGACUUGAUUCCAGGUUGCGUCGUUUACUGGUGAGAAGCAAGCAAUAAACAAUUACAAUAAGUCACUUGUUACUGCUUAUAGAUCAGGCGUUCAUGAAGGCACCGCUGCUGGAGUAGGUAUUGGCUUAGUUAUGCUAGUUAUAUUCUGCAGUUAUGCUUUGGCUGUCUGGUUUGGUGGGAAGAUGAUUUUGGAGAAAGGGUACACUGGUGGUGAAGUACUUAAUGUGAUCAUGGCUGUAUUGACAGGUUCCAUGUGAGUUUAAAUUUUGAAUUUUGUCCAUCUUCUACUUUAUUAAGCGUGCUUCAUAGGCUAAAUUCCUUGGUACCUACGGACGUUUCAGGUCUCUGGGGCAAGCAUCUCCAUGCAUGACUGCGUUUGCGGCUGGUCAAGCUGCAGCGUUUAAGAUGUUUGAGACCAUCAAAAGGAAGCCAGAGAUUGAUUCCUAUGACACGAGUGGAAAAGUGUUGGAGGAUAUUCGUGGGGAUGUAGAACUGAGGGAUGUUUAUUUCAGUUACCCUGCCAGACCAGAGGAGCAAGUUUUCAGUGGAUUCUCUCUUUCUAUUCCAAGUGGCACAACAGUAGCUUUGGUUGGACAAAGUGGAAGUGGGAAAUCAACUGCAAUCAGCCUGAUCGAGAGAUUUUAUGAUCCACAAGCCGGUGAGGUUCUUAUCGAUGGCAUUAAUCUCAAGGAGUUCCAGCUUAGAUGGAUAAGGGGAAAGAUUGGUCUUGUUAGCCAGGAACCAGUGUUGUUUACGUCAAGCAUAAGGGAUAAUAUCGCAUAUGGUAAAGAAGAUGCAACCACGGAAGAGAUAAGAGCAGCAGCUGAACUUGCAAAUGCUGCUAACUUCAUUGAUAAACUACCUCAGGUUUUAGUUUAUUGUCCGAUUAAUUUUAUUUUAUAUAUCAACUUCAAUAUAUGAAUUGCACAUUUUAAUUUACUUUUGAAACUAUGGACUCCAUGCAUAGGGACUAGAUACCAUGGUUGGAGAGCAUGGAACUCAGCUUUCUGGUGGACAAAAGCAGAGAGUGGCAAUUGCAAGAGCAAUCUUGAAAGACCCACGGAUUUUGCUUUUAGACGAAGCUACAAGUGCACUCGACGCAGAAUCUGAAAGAGUUGUUCAAGAGGCAUUGGACAGGAUAAUGGGCAAUAGGACUACUGUCAUUGUUGCUCAUCGUUUAAGUACUGUGAGAAAUGCAGAUUCGAUUGCUGUAAUUCAUAAAGGAAAGAUGGUUGAAAAAGGUAGUUAUAAUCAUAUAUUUCUUGAACUUCAUCUUAAUUGUAAGUGGAGCUAUCUAACAGACGCAUGUUAUCAAGGGGAUACAUUUUUAUUCCACUAACUAAACCUGGAUUUGCCUGCAUGUUGGUGUAUUUUCAGACAUUUUGCGUAUUUCCAUUGCAUAUCUUAAAUAUUAAGGAAUAUGUUUGUAACACGUUUAACAUAUUGCUUGUAGUUCUUAUUUCUUUUUUUUGCAUUUGCAUCAGCAGUGUUAUGCUCCACAACAACAUACUUUAUCACAGUCGAUAACAUUUCUUCGAAUUGACAGGGUCGCAUUCAGAACUACUCAAGGAUCCUGAGGGAGCUUACUCUCAGCUCAUUCGUUUACAAGAAGUAAAUAAAGGGUUGGAACAGCUUGCAGAUGUAUCAGAUGUUAAUCAAGAAUUGUUCAGACAAUCGAGCCUAAGAAGGUCAUUCAAGCGAUCAAUCAGCAGGGGAUCAUCUAGAACUAGCAGCCGCAAUUCUUCUUUCUCUCAACCUUUUGGUUUACCUACUGAAAUG
This 44320-nucleotide long non-coding RNA is filed under the name Gossypium barbadense (sea-island cotton). RNAcentral describes it as "long non-coding RNA (GBAR_LNC009985)". The record is from RNAcentral. Lineage: Eukaryota; Viridiplantae; Streptophyta; Magnoliopsida; Malvales; Malvaceae.